Molecule: long non-coding RNA, 66242 nt
Filed under: Nicotiana benthamiana
Lineage: Eukaryota; Viridiplantae; Streptophyta; Magnoliopsida; Solanales; Solanaceae
Description: long non-coding RNA (NBEN_LNC019376)
Source: RNAcentral
UACAUGAUGUUGCAGUAUGUGAUAGAUUAUAUGAUGAAAUUAUGAAUGCUCUUUAUCCUAAUGAACCAAUCUUAGAGGAAAAUGAGGAUGAUGAUGAUGAAGCCCAAGCACAUUUAGAUGAUACACCUACUAGUCCUGUUCAUAACUCAAGUAAUGCACCGGCACACCCACCUGUAGAAACUCCAACUUUUAGUGGACAACCUGCUAAACGUACAGAAACAUCAUUAGUUUGGAAUUUUUUUAAUGUUCAUAACUCAAGUAAUGCACCGGCCCACUCACCUGUAGCAAUUCCAACUUUUAGUAGACAACCUGCUAAACGUCCAAAAACAUCAUUAGUUUGGAAUUUUUUUACUCAAGUAAGAGAACUAAAUAAGGCUAAGUGUAAAACUUGUGGGAAAUUAUUGGUUCAUAUAUUUACUGGAGACCGUAGCGGCACGGGUAGUUUAACCAUGCACAUAAAAAUACACCCUACAGAUAGGGAUAGAUUUUUUCAAAUGCAAGCGCAGCAAGAGGGGACAAGUGUAGAUUAUGCGGUUAACCCUAUUAUAGGUUCAAAUCUAGUUCAAUCAGGAAUUAACACUGUCACCGGAGGUAUUUUAUAUUACGAUCCAAAUAGAGAUCGUGAAGAAUUAGCAAAGAUGAUUAUUGUUAUGUGCUUACCUUAUACUUUUGCUUCUAAUCCUAAUUGGGUUCAUUAUAUUAUAAGAUAUUUAAUCCUACUUAUAAAGGUUGGCCUCGCGCAACAGCUAAGGUCGAUUUUUAUAAAUUCAAACAUGAAUAUGAACAAUAUUUGCGCUAUUUAUUUACUCAUAUACCUAAUCAGAUUUCUAUUACUAUUGAUAUUGGUAGAAAUGGUAAUGAUUGUGAUUAUAUAACUGUUACAAGUCAUUGGAUAGAUGAGAAUUAGACAAUGCAAAAACGUAUAAUUGCGUAUAGAAUAAUUAAUUCACGUCACACAGGUAAGUUUAUAGCUAACGUUGUUUCAGAUAUUUGUAGAUAUUUUUGCUUUAGCAAUAAAAUAAUGUCAAUUUCUAUAGAUAUUGCUUCUAGUAACACUAGUGUUAUAGGCAUGCUUACAAAAACACUAAAUCCUGCAUUUAGUAAUAUUUUCCAUGUUAGAUGUAUUUCUCAUAUUUAUCAUUUAAUUGUCGGUGAUGGUAUGCGAAUUUUAAACAUAGUAAUUGAAAAGGUUCGAAUGGCUCUUAAUUUACUUUUUUAUUCAAACCGUAGAACUAGACUUAGGGAGUAUUUUAAAAAAUGAGAUGAAUAUGGCCUUAGAGAAAGAAAUGUUCCUAAACCUUGUCCGGCUAGAUGGAAUUGUAUGUACGAAAGUUUAAUAGUUGCAUAUGAAUAUAGAAACCCAACUAAUGCUAAUGUUUAGUUAUCGGGUAGGUGGUGAUGAUGAUGAUGAAAUGCUUACUACCCAGGAUUGGACGAAUGUUAAAAUUCUUUUAGAUUUUUAGAACAUUUUCAAGUUGCUACAAAUGUAUUUUCUGGGCAAUAUUAUCCUAAUAUUUCAAAAUGUUUAGUUUAUAUUGCCGCACUAGCUGAUUUGUUUGUUGAAUUUAGCGAGGGUAGGGAUAUUUAUAAACUUGCUAUAAAUGAAAUUAAACAAAAAUUUAAAAAAUAUUAUUUCACUAUCCCUCUUAUUUUUGGUGUUGCUGCAAUUUUAAAUCCUACAAUGAAAUUGGGAGGUCCUCAUUUUUGGUAUUCUAAUAUUUGUAAGGCUUUAGAUCUUUCAAACGAGGAAGUUGCUACACUUGCACAUGCAAAAGCAUCAAUUAAAAUUAAUGCUCAAACAAUUCAUAAUGCUUAUCAAGUUGCCUUAGAGCAUGAAAGGCCAAAUAUUCCAACCCCCACUUCGUCUAGCUCACAAUCGUCUAAAAGAGUUGCGGGCUUAACAACUCUUAAAUUUUGGACGGAGUUUCGGGGUUCUCAAGGUGAUAAUUAUGGUGAAACUUCACAUCUAAAUGAGCUUCAAGUUUACUUGUCUCAAGAACUUGAAAAGGAGAAUCCAGACGGCUCUUUCGAUCUUUUGGAACGGUGGAAGACAAGGGAAAAAUAUUUUCCGGUUCUUGCAAGGAUGACUCGGGAUAUUUUAUCAAAAUCAAGCUUCAACUGUUGCAUCGGAGAGCGCUUUCAGUCAAGCAAGACUACAAAUAGGUGACCAUAGAGCGGCGACGAGGGAUAGCUUGGAAAAAUCGGUACCUUUUAGAGAUUGGAUCCGCACGGAAAUAAGAAACUUUGGAAUUGCAGAAUCACAAGCGGCAAUAAAUGAAGCUUACGAAGAAAUGAUAGCUGAACUUUCGGAGGAUUCGGCUUCGCCCGGAAGUGGUGAUGAACAUGCUUCGUUUCCACCACCACCUACACAACCUCCUCCCAACCUUGACGGAUUUAUGAGAUUUGUUAGAGAUACAAUGUAGAUUAUGCACCACCACCAACACAACAUCCUCCCAACCUUGACGGAUUUAUGAGACUUGUUAGAGAUACAAUGUAGAUUAUGAUGUAACUUGUACACCGACACAUCUUCUUUUAGUUUUUUCCUUUUAAUGUGGUAUUAGUACCUUGUUGUGCUCAUUCCAUUGGGGGAAGGAAGACUAAGAAAGAUAUGCCAUUUUGGGUAAUAAAAAUUAUAAGACACACCAUUGAAUAUCUUUUUUCUCAAUAUUUCUUUGACUUUACUUCGAAUUAUUUAUAAGCUACAAUAUAUAUAUAUAUAUAUAUAUAUACUACAAUAAAAUAUAUAACUAUAUAAGUUAUAAUAUAUACUACAUGAAUAUAUAUAAGAGAAUAUAUAUACAUAACAUACAAUAUAUAACAUACAAUAUAUACUACAAGAAAAUAUAUAAGGAUAUAUAUAUAUAUAUAUAUAUACACACACAUAAUUAUAUAUACAUAAGAUACAAUAUAUAUACUACAUGAAAUAUAUAACAAAAAAACCCCCGCCAAGCCCGACCCGCUAGGCCCAGGACCACUAUGGGCUUAUGCCCGUCACGGGCUGGUCUCACCCGCCAGGCCCACGAAGCCCGAGACCAUGAAGCCCGGCCCGUGAAGCCCGUUUAGGCCCGGGCCAAAAUACACCCCUAGUUUGUAACGAGUAUUCAAUUUGUUUUUUUAUUUUGGUUUAAAAUAAAUAUUUAUAUAUAUAAUUAAGAAAAAAAUUAAUUUAUUUUUACAAAAUAACUCAUAUGUAUAUAUUUUUAAAAAAAUUCUUAUUCUUCACAUUAAAUAUUUAAUUAUAGGUAAUUUAAUCAUACUAGAUAUUUUUAUAUAGGAUUUAGUAUUUUUUUAAUGAGCAUGCUAAAAGCAAAUUAAACACUUAUUAUAAACUGGAGGAAAUAAUAAUUUAAGCAAAUAUCCUAUUUUAGGCCAUUAUUUAUAUUGUACUAGUGAUGUUGUUCGCGCUUUACGCAAUUGUGAUUCCUUUUUUCUUUCCGUAAAAUACUUAAUUUGUUUGGUAAAUUGGUCCAGAUAUAUCGAAGAAUACAUUUUCAUAAAUACAACCAAUAAUUAAUAGAUUAAUCAUAAAUAUAAUACAUACUCGUUCGCUCUAACACUCUACAAAUCACUAAUUUGCCAUCAACAACCGAUUUUUUUUACAAUAUGAAGGUAGCUAAAAAGUGUUUGACCAAAAAAUAUAAAUUUUUUCGUUAAACUAAUUGGAUAAGAAGAUAACGGAUAAUACUAAUUAAAUAUAAUAAUUUAUAGAUCUGAAACGUAUUUUGUGGAUAAUGCGGCAUUGCACUAAAACAGAUUUUAAUGUGAUAUAUGUUAAAUUAUACGGUUAUGAAUGCAAGGAGAAUAAACAUAAGCAAUAAAUACAUUAAAUGAUACUAAUUGUAAAUAAAGAUAACGAUUCACCCAAUAUUGAAUAAGGCGGAUAAUUCCUCUAUUUGAUAAUGACGUAAGACAAAUGAAUCCGAGAAUAUAGGAAGCUUUCUCGGACUGAUACGAGAAAUGUGAAAUAAACGACAAUCGAACCUCUUUGGAAAGGCAAUAUUUGCAUUUUACUCGAGAGUCAACGUUUCAAGAGAGUUCUUAUCGUAUAGAAUAUUACAUACCAUUUUCUUUCUCUGCCGUUUUAUUUAUACGUGACAUAUCACUAAUCUAAUCUAAAGUACAGGUACAGAAUAUUCUCCUAAAUAUCUUAAUACAAAAUUAACCGUUAUUGCUGGCCUCAAGAUUUGACCUCGGCUCUGAUUAACAGCUCGCUAAUAAAUUUCUUUAAUCUUAUAUACGACCUCUACCUAAUUGCUUCUUAAUAAUCUAUUCUUGUGCCAAGUUUCUUUAGUCAGAUUUUAACUCAUACGAAAAUUUACCAUAUCAAGGUAACAAAAUAAUUCGUUAUUUAUUGUUUGGAGAUAAAGAGUAUUGUCGUUUCCUUGCAAUUAUACAUAAAUUUUUCUCAUCUAGCUACCUUGGCCUUCCUUCCGAACUCUCCCAAUUGUUUUCUUCCUCCUGACGAUACCGAACAUCUCUAGCAUCUCUAUUUUUAUCCUCGUAAAAUGAUUAAAAAACAAAGAACUUCAACUGUUUUGAGCCAUCAUACAAAAUUGAGAUAGUAAUUAGUCCUAAGUUAUGAAGGAAAAGAAUAUCAAAACUAAAAUUAUAGCAUCUCGAUGUUAAACAUUUGGGAGUUAUGCACACAAAAGGAUGGGAGAGUUCUGGGUAUUAAGAGCAGGAGAUGAAGAUGUAUAAAUUAAGAAGGUAAACUUUUAGAACCAUACAUAAUAGAUGUACAAAAAAAUGACAACAUCCACAAUACAAAUGUAGCAAAAACAUUUAUACUGUCUAUAUUUUUCAUAUAACAUCCUACUAUUAAUUAGCAACAAAUAUCAAGGCAAUUACGUCUUUUACGUCUUUCACUAUUGAAUCAAUAACAAAAAUAAUAAUCCAGUAAAAUCUCACCAGUUAGGUCUGAAGAGGAUAGAGUGUAUGCAUACCUUACCCUUAUCUUAGAGGGGAUAGAGAGACUAUUUACGGGAAACCCUCAGCUUAGAUACAAUAGAUUUGUAACAACAAAAACCCAAAAAUAAUCAGCAACAUGGGAAACAACAAAUAAAUGAAAAAGUAGUAACACAAAAAUUAUGCAAAGGUAUGAAACCCAAUAUAUAUCGCUAACAUUAUUAGACAAAACACUAUCAUACUCUUCGGUAGAAAGAGAAAAAUCGGGACAAAGAGGAAAGCCGCUCGACUAUCCUUUAACAACCCUAAUGCUCGACCUCCACACUUUCAUAUCAAGAGCCAUAUCCUCGAAAAUCUAGAGAUGUGCCGUGUCCUGUCUUAUCACCUCGCUUCAAUACUUUUUGGACCGCCCUCUACCUCUUCUCGUACCUGUCAAAGCCAACCGCUCAUACCUCCUAUCUGGGGCAUCUAUGCUUCUUCUCUACACGUUGUCACACCUUCUUUUUUCCGAGGGGGAUAGAGAGUUUUUUCAAUUAAAGUGACAUUAAUCGAAAUGAGAUUAUUUGUUUAUUUAUUCAGAGUAGUCACUUGGGAUAUUUAUGGUGUACCAAGUCAUCAGUUUAUUUUAAAUUCAAAUCGAAGAAGUUGACUCUAUUUUUUGGUUCGCGACACAGAAGACCGGAUAAGAAAUUAUGUUAAAUCGGAAAAAGGUGUGAGACACUCCCGAGUUUCAUAGUUUUAGCACGUCACUCAACUAUUAAUAAUUGCCCUAAUUAUCCGAUUUAUUACAUGUGUUAAUCCUAUUGUGCAUUUUAUUAAAUUAACCGCUUUUAGUAUUUAUGAAAUUUGUUUAAACAAGUCAUGAUGUCACGCACUCAUUUGUUUUGAUACACGUUGCAAACCGCACCACAUGAAAUGCACCCGCAACUUAAGACAUAUUUAUUUUUAUUAAUAUUAGAAGUUAUGAUUGGGUCACAUGAAGUGCAUACCCGAAUGGGAUUUGCAUAUCAUGACCAUGCUAUGAGAAUCGUACACAUAAUUACUAAGAUUUAUUAUUAAUAACGCCUAAAGUAAGCUACGAUGCUUAUUAUUCAUUUCCUAAAACUAAUUUUGAGAUUAUUGUGAGGCCAUUAGGAAAAUCAUAUUAUGAUGGAGAACAGUGCCGGCUAUGCUUAAAACCAACUAUAUUCCAAAUAACGCAGGCAAAGCAAAUAAGAAAACAACUGUAAUGGGCACGUCAAAUCUAUUAGUCUUGUUCAAUAAUGAAGAAAUUCAUGUUAGACGAAGGACAAAAGAAUUCAACUUUGGAUAACAUAAAUGAAUGGCCCAAGAAAAGCAUUUAUUCGGUAAAGGUGUAAACUAUCCAGAAAACACAUGCUGGGAAAGACAUAAAAUCACUCCAACAUUUCCUAUAACAAGUAUUUGGCCAGCAACUCAAUUUUAAUAUCACUUGAAUUUCCAAUGGGGCAAGUCUUAUCUUAAGAAAACAACAAUAUUGUUCUUCUGUUUCUAUAAUUUAUUUUGUUUAAGAAUUGGUCAAAUGGGGAGCGGGUAUGGGCUUGAGCGAAUUGGACUUAGAUUUGGUCCAAUUUGGGCCAUGGACUUGGACAUAUGAACAAGAUUUUAAGAGAACUAGUCCAAAUUAAAUCUUUUUUUUUUUUGUAAUUUUGAUUUUCUUUUAUAUAUUAAUAGAUGAAAAAAUAAAAAUAUUACCCCUAAACUUGAAUAGCAAGGUAAAAUAGUAAUUGCUCAAAAUUUACUUAUCAAACUAAUAUAUAUUAUUUGGAAAACCCUUUCUUUAUUUGUAAACGAAGAUAAAGCAUAUAUUUAAAAAAAUGACUACUUUUUUUAUUGUUUUCAAUUUUCUUUAAGUAAAAUAUAUAAAAUGUGAGAUGAAGUGAAGAUUCUUCGUAAACACGACGUCAGUUACAUAGCCUUUCGUAGAUAAGUACAAACGACUCUGUACGGAUCAGUGAGACUCUAAUAAAUCGGCAUGUGUUUUGUGACUCAUAUGAACCUAGAGCUCUGAUAACAACUUGUCACUAUCCCAAUUCACCCACCAUGAACAUGCCACGAUGGCACCUAGUUCCUACAACUAGGCAAGCCUAAUAAUGCAGAAAUUUAAGGUAACUUGCGAAAAAUUUAAUUAAAGUAAGAAAACUAGAAGAAAACGUUGUAUAAGUGCAACUUGGCAUAUACAACUAAAAAAUAAUAUGCGGAAGUCUAUAUCAUCCCAAAACCCGGAAACUCACGGGAACCACAAGCUAAUAGAAAUGUAAUAUACUGCUCUAACUCCAGAAUGUCUAAACAAUUGAAAGAAAAGGAUAGAAUAACUACUAAAGCUGGAACAGAAUAGAGACUCUUGGUCUGCGGACGCGGUAGAUAUACCUCGAAGUAUUCGUUAGAUCCCUCCGCCUCGAGGAUCGUACGCUUGAGUGGAGGUACAUGGAUCUGCACAUGAAAAACAUGCGCAGAAGGGGCAUGAGUACACCACAACGUUACUUAGUAAGUGCCAAGUCUAACCUCGGUCGGGUAGUGGCGAGAAAGGUCAGGGCCCGUCUGAGAUUAAACAAUAUAAUAUGAAUGCUGGCAACAGUAUGAAAUAAGCAGAAAUAAUGGAAUACAAUUGUGAAGUAAUUCAGGUUACACAAACAACAAUCAACACACCGAAGAUAAGAUAACACAGAGUAAAAUAGCUCAAUAUCGGUACUAAUUACGAGGAUCUCCCAGGAUACCGUCCUGUAGUCUAUUUCUAUGUCAAUACAACGACGAGGAUAUCACAGGAUACCAUCCUGUAGUCCACUUCCAUGCCAAUACCAAUAACGAGGAUCUCCCAGGAUACAAUCCUGUAGUCCAUUUCUAUGUCAAUGAGCAGGGGGUCUAACGAGAAUCUAACCCGUAGUCCCAAAGUAAAUGUGCAUGUGGAUCUAUCGGGAAUCUAACUCGUAGUCCCAAAGUAAAUAUGCAAGGGGAUCUACUGGGAAUCUAACUCGUAGUCCCAAAGUAAGGAAACAAAACGGGGAGCUACCAGAAUCCCACAUCUGUAGUCCCAAUGUAAAUGGCGCAACCAAAACCAGGAGAUAUUCAGAAGGGAAGUACAAAAAAAAGACAAGCAACAUGUAGUACUAGCCUAACAUGUCUCACGUAGUGCAAAUAAGGAAAUUUAAGCAAGUAGGCGAGCUAAAUCAACUAAACAUGCCUUUAUAAUCUAACACAGUUAUAAUUGCAAGCGCGAUAAAGCAAGUACGAAAGAAACUCAGUCUCAAUAUAUUAAGUAAAAAUCGAAUUUUCAAUGAUUAGCUCAAGUACGUGCUCGUCCCUUCACAUACAAGGCACUCAAUUACCAAAUAAAUAUCAUAGGGGAAAGGUCCCCCAUACAAGGUUAGACAAGCCACUUACCUCAAACCGACUCCAAUUCAACUUGAAACCACAUGUUUGCCACGAAUACCCGACUCCAAAUGGCCCAAAUCUAUUCAUUUAAAUUAUAUAUCGUAAAUAACAUCUCAAAAAUUUGAUUAUACAAUUCAAUUUAAAGUAAGACGCAAAUUUUGGUAAAAUAACCAAAAUGCCCCUCAAUCCAACAUGGUCAAAACCCGAGGUUCAAAACAAAAUCUGACUACCCAUUCUCCCAUGAACUCAAAUAUAUGAUUUGAUUUGAAACCGGAUCUCAAAUUGAGGUCUAAAUCCCAAAAAUUUAGAAAAACUUAGGUUCUACCCUAAACCUCCAAUUUCACCCGUGAAAAUCAUUGAUUUUAAGUUGAAAAUAUGUUAAAUAAUGUUAAAAAUUGAAAGAAAUAAGUAAAAACAAACUUACAAACUAUUUGGAAGAGGUUUUGUUCUUGAAAAAUCGUCCAAAGGAGUGAUGUUUUGAAAAUGGGGUAAAAAAUGUCCAAAUUUCGACUAAGUAUAAAAACUGCAGGUUGCAAAUGUCGCAAUUACGAACCCCGACAUUUACUAGUAUGGAAAAUUCGAAACAGUGUUUGCAUUUGCGAACCCUUCCUAUUUUCAGGACCUUUGCACUUGCGAAGUGAGGGUCGCAUUUGCAACAUAACAAUCGUAUUUGCGAUCACUAGCAGCCUGAGCAUCUUUUGCAUUUGCGAAGAAAUGCUUGCAUUUGCGAGAAAGGAUGGCCUGGGCUUACUUCGAAAUUGUGAAGGGCCACUCGCAUUUGCGAUAUCGCAUUUGCGAGGCAAUGCAAAGCCUGCAGGCAAGUUCAUACCAGCAACUUUCAAGGAUAAAAUGUACUCCGACGCCUACCCAAAACUCACUCGAGCCCUCGUGGCUCCAAACCAAAUAUGCACACAACCUCAAAAAUAUAAUACGGACUUACUCGCGCAAUCAAAUCGCCAAAAUAACAUCAUAUAAAUCGAACUAAGCCUCAAAGCUCAUGAUUUCCUCCAAAUUUUCAUAAAACAUCAAAUUGCCAUUUUUAAGUUCAAACAUGUCAAACGACGUCCGUUUUCAACCAAACUUUACAGGAAGCGCUUAACCCAUAUAUAAGACUUGUAUCGGGAACCAAAACCAAUAUACGGGGGCGAUACCAUAAUAUUUUAAUCAAAUUUUACUUCCAAUUUCCUUACUUAUUUCCAGAAACCAAUUUCACCCAAAAAAUCAUUUCUCGGGCUUGGGAUCUCAAAAUUCGAUUUCGAGCAUACGCCCAAGUUGCAUAUUUUCCUACGGACCCUCCGGGACCAUCAAAUCACGGGUCCGGGUCUGUUAAUCUAAUAUAUUGACUGAAGUCAAAUUUAUCUAAUUUAGUAACAAAAUUUAGCAUUUUCUAACAGAAUCCAUAUCUAGCUUUUCGGCUAAGUGCCUGGGCUGCUCACAUAAAUCGAGGCAACCCCAGGUAAGGUUUUCAAGCCUCAGAAGUACAGAAUGGUAAGAAAACAAGUGAUGACCCCCUUGGGCUGUCACAUCCUCCACCACUAAAUAACCGUUUGUCCUCGAACGAACAAAAGAAAGAAGUACGUAAGUCAGGAAAAAGAUGAGGAUAACGGCUCCGCAUAUCAGGCUCAGACUCGCAGGUCGAUGCCUCAAGAGGAUGACCUCUCCAUUGGACCCAAACAGAAGGAAAUAUCUUGGACCUUAACUCAAAAUUCUGCUAGUCUAGGAUAGCUACCGGCUCCUCCUUAUAGUUCAAGUCCUUGUCCAACUGGACAGUGCUGAAAUCUAACACGUGGGCUGGAUUGCCGUGAUACAUCCAGAGCAUGGAUACAUGGAAAACUGGAUGCACGACUAAUAAUCUAGGCGGCAAUGUGAGUCUAUCAGCCACAUGUCCCACUCUAUCAAGAAUCUCAAACGGACCAAUGUACCUAGGGCUAAGCUUGCCUUCUUCCCAAAUCUUAUCACGCCCUUCAUAGGCGAUACUCAGAGCAAUAAUCGCUCACCAACCAUAAAUGCUACAUCUCGAACCUUGCGAUUUGCAUAACUCUUCUGCCUAGAGUGAGCUGAAUGAAGCCUGUCCUGAAUGAUCUUGACCUUGUCCUAGGCCUCCUGAACCAAAUAUGUACCUAGCAACCGAGCCUCCCCCGGCUCAAACCAUCUAACCGGAGAUCUAUGUUGGCUUGUCCCUUCUUAUUAUCCUUUUUCGAGAGAUGACAAUCACAGCUUUUGUGACCAACUUUUCCACAACUGUAGCAGCUGCCCUUGAAUUUCUUUUUGUUAUGCUCCUUAGUUUGUCCAGAAGACCUUUUCAUUUUCUUACUUUUUGGAGCAGUCCCCUCAACGAUGUUAGCUCCCAUGAUCAUUGAAUUUCCAUGAGACUUCUUCUCGGCUAUCUUGUUGUCUUCCUCAAAGUUUAGAUGUAUCACAAGAUCUUCCAACUUCAUUACUUUGCGCUUGUGCUUCAGAUAGUUCUUGAAAUCUCUCCACGAAUGAGGCAAUUUUUCAAUCAUAGCAGUUACCUGAAAUGCUUCAUACACGACCAUACCUUCAACACAAAGGUCGUGAAAAAUAAGUUGAAGCUCUUGAACUUGGGUUUCUACAGUUUUGUUGUCUAUCAUAUAGUCUAGAAACUUGGUACCCACGAACUUCUUCAAGCAUGUAUCUUCUAUCUUGUACUUCUUCUCAAGUGCAUCCAAUAAUUAUUUUGAAGUACUCAUCGCACUAUACACAUUGUAUAAAUCAUCCACUAAAGCACUUAAGAAAAUAAGUCUCCUUCCACACUUCAACAAUCAUGAACUUUUCAUUGUCCGGCAUAUUCGCAGCAGGUACUGGAUGCUCUUCACUAGUGAAUUUCUGCAUACCAAGUGUGAUAAGCCAGAAUAAUACCCUUUGUUGCCAUCCUUUGAAGUUGGCUCCAGAAAAUUUCUCGGUUUCUCGGCCUAAGGAACAACAAUGCGACUUUUACGAGGCUAUCGUUGUUGCACCAACAGUUGCAAAAGGAUUUCCGUUAUUAUUUGCCAUUUCUUACUGUCAAUAACAGAAGAGAUCAAUUAAUGAAAAAAGAAGAACAAUAAAUAAUAUUGUAAUCAAUAAACAAUACGUAAUAAAAAGCGCUGAAGUUUUUACAUACUGUUUUACAGAAAAACGAUGAAGUUUUUAUGUUCUUCAAAUUGUUUUCUGAAUUUUAAUACUCUGAUGAAGUUUUUAUAUCUUCAAAUCAGAAUAGUAAAACUCAGACAGAAUACAAAAAUAUAACAAAAUAUAAUUUCCUUAAGAUUGUUAUUAAUCUGUAUUGCUGUAAAUAAAUAAAAUAAUAAUAUUUCUUGAAAAAAAUAGAAAGUUAGUAGAAAUUAAAUUCCGAAAAUAGUAUUUGAACUCCUUCAAAGUAAUAGGAACAAAUCGAGCCCUCAUAAUACACAGUGUGUCCUUAAGAAAAUUAUUUCCCUCAAGUACCCGAGGUUCUGGGAUAUAUCCUCCUGAGAUAGAACAAUUUAACCCACCGGAAUGUUGGUACCAAAAACGCCAAUGAACAGUGAACCACUCGAAGGCUGCAAAACAUACUGGAAUUUUGUGUAGAAGAAGAAGAAGAUUAUCAGGAAAUUUCAUAAGUUAAUAUUAUGGGUUUUGAAGGCAUAUUUAUAACCAAUUUGAUAUUGUUUCUAAAAAAGUUUGCAACCUUUAAUAACAAUCAUAGCUGUUGUAAUAGGUAUGACAUUGUUUCAGAACAGCUAUAACUGUUGAAAAUAUUGCGGGAAAUUUAAAACAAAUUUAAAAUUAUUUGGUAAAAACUGACCUAACAGGAUCGGAUCGCCGGUCAGGGGUUAUUCCAGAUUGAAUUUUUGUUAAUUAACUUAAUUAAUCAGUUAAAUAUUUGCAAGUAAUUUUGUCCAAAAAAUUAAUCAAUCAAUCGUUGACCGAAGCCGAAGCGAAGCCGAGCCGAGCGAGCGAUAACGACGGCGCGAGGCUUGCUUUAUUCUUUUCUCUUUAAGAGCUGAAAGAUGAGCUUCUUUAUAUAUACACAUAUUUUUUUCCUUAUACCGAUGAGGGAUAAAGUGCAUUAGUGAAAUGAACUCAUCCAAAAUUUUACUUCCCUUUAUUUUUUCCCACCAUUUUCCAUUCACACAUCUUUUGUUAUUAAUAAAUAAUAACAAAACCGAAUAAUCCCACACAUGAAUAAGGAAUGGCUAUAAACUUAAAGGAAUGCACAGACGUGUGUGUGUUUUACAUGUAAGAAUUAAUUGCAUCUGGAUAAGUAGGUUUCCCUUUGAACUUUUUGUAGUGAACUUAUAUCGGAUAUACUCGGUCAAUAGGUAGAUUUGAUAUCUUUUAAUCGUCGAGCUUUAUUGUAUACCUAGACACAUAAGUCACACAAUCAAUCCUUAAUCACCUAUGGUUCUCACGGUUGUGUUCGUUUUAGCUAAAUACCGCCUGGUUUCAUGAGUGCUUAGAGAAUGAGCAUUUACUUUCAUUCUCCUUGAAGCGGCUUACACUUCACACUCACAUAGCUAAUUCUUAAACAUGUAGUCCUACACACUAUCUAGUCAUAUCCUACCAGACUUAGUAAAUCAUUAAAAAGCUUUAAGCUUUAUUGACUCAUCAAAAAGCCUUAAUGCUUUACCUUAUUUUUUUGAAUGUUGUCUUCAUCAUGAGAAUGUGCUGAGUUAUUUGACAAUAUUGAACCGUCAUUUAUAACUUUGUUGAUCUCUUUGAACCUAGAUCUUGUGAUCUCCAGUCUGCUAGAACACCAUAAUAACUUGUCCUAGGCCUUUUACCCCAUUCUCUUUGAUGAUCUUUCAACUGCCUCUCUAGAUAGGCCUUUUGUAAGUGGACCCGAUACGUUGUCUCUUGAUUUUACGUAAUCAAUUGUGAUAACACCACUAGAGAGUUGUUUUCUAAUGGUAUUGUGUCUCCGUCGAAUAUGUCAAAAUUUUGCGUUAUACUUAACAGUCUCUGCCCUACCUAUUGUUGCUUGACUAUUACAAUGUAUCCCACUCUUGCCAUCUUCUCUUAUAUCAUGUUCUAUAAUCACUUCCAUUCAAUUUCCCAUGAAACUAUACCUAUCUAAAGCUCAUAUGUGAUAAAAUCUCAAACAAUUCAACCCCAACAGCCCCAAAAAUUCCUUCUCUUACAUAUCACCAGUAUCAGGAAUGAACACUCCUUUUUCUCAGUACUUUUAAAACCCACAUUAGCUCCUUAAUUUAUCUUUUUGCCUUCUGUUUUCAUUCUAAGGAACCCAUUUUUGAGUAUGUUCAAAAACGGAGUUUCAUAGCUUUACCAACAAAAACUAAACUAAUUAUCCUUGUCUAUUCAUUGAUUUUUCUAUCCACCAAACUAUUUAGCCUUCCUACCAAUUUGUAGCUUUUGUCGGUAAUAGUUUCCUUUUUGUUCUCAUGUUCUUUUUUAUUUCUCUACCUUUUCUUUUUAUUUUCUUUCUUUUCUCCUUUUAAUUUUCUAGUUUUCUUUUCUGUUCAUAUAUCUUUUUUCGGAGCAUAUUAUUCUUUAUUUGCUUAUUCACUAUAAUCUGGUUUUAUACUCAAUCUGACUCGUUUCUUUUAAUUUUUCUUUCCUUUUGUUUAUAUAUUUAAUUUUGUGUUCCUUUUCAAAUUUCAUUCAACUUUUUUAAUUUCCUUUGUUUGCCCCAUAUUACUAUUUUGUACAAUGAGCAUUUUUAUGGAAAUCCAUCAGAAAAGUUAUUUAAAAAAGUAUUUGCAAGAACCUAGUUGGAAAAGUUUAAAAUGUUAAAUACUAAUUUAUUUAUUAUGGUAUGCUGUGAUAUUAUAUUGUAUACUAUAACAAUAUCAUUGUUAUAACCAUGACUUUAGCUUUUCACAAUAGCACCUAGAUGAUUCAAUAAAUAGCAAUCGAAGUAUACUAUUAUGGCAUAUUGUAUAGUAUUGCAGUAUAUUGCAUAUUACUAUAGUAUAUUGUAUAUUUUAAAAGUAUACUAUUGUAGUAUAGCCAUAUACUCUUACCAUAUAUUAUAUACCGUAGCGACAUACUGUUAGAUAAUCAUGUUCUUCUUCGAUUAUUACAGUAUACUGUAGUUUAUUGUAUGCUAUAAAGGGGCGUUUGGUUUGAUACAGCUUAUGCCAGGAAAGUUAUGCUGGGAUUAGUUGUGCUGGUAUUUUUUUAUCCGUUGUUUGGUAUGUUGUAUUAAAAAUAACAAGUGCAUAAUCUCUAAGAAGAAGGUAUAACUUACUCUGCUAAUAAUUAUCCCACCCCCUAGUUUGGUACUAAUUUUAAUUCCGAGAUAACUUAUACCAGGUUUUCUAACAAAACAAAGUAUUAAGGUGGUAUUAAAUUUUUAUACCAGCACUAUAUCGACUUAUACCUCAUACCAAACGAUCCCUAACAGUAUACUGUUGCAGUAUAGCUUUUGAUUUUUUAAACUAAAAUAAGCUUAAAAGAGGGUUAAUGGAAAAUUGGGGGAAAAUAAAAAUUUUAAGUUUCUUUCCUUGACAAAAGGACAUUAUCCCAUAUUGAAAGAGGAAAAGGAUUUCGAUGGGUAUAUAUACAAUUUUAUCUCUCAAAUAGUUAAAAAAACUCAAGCCUCAUGCCAUCGCCAUCAUCGUCAUAGCUCGCUCGGCUUCGGCUUCGAAUUCGGCAAAUGAUUGAUUGAUAAAUUUUUUGGACCAAAUUUAAUUGUUAAUAACAAAUAUUAACGUCAUAUUAUUAAAUAUCCGUGUUUGUAACGAAAAAUUAAUAAUCCAAAUUAUUCUUUUCAUUGACUCUGCCCGUCCAUUUUUUGUAAAGAAAAACAUUUCCUCUCCCCUUCUUAAUUUACGUAAAAGACCAUUUACGUUAUGUUCAUUUUACGUAACUAAAUUCUUUUUGUUUGAACUCAGCAGGUUGGGGCGAUAAACAAGUUGUCAAUUCUCUCAGAUUUUCCAUAAGAAUUUCUAAAUAUUUCUCCUUUCUUCUGCAUUAUUUUAACUACAAAAAAAGCAAUUGUAAGUGUGAUUUUCUACCAAUCAUUGUGUUCCCUGAAACACUGGGGUUUGAAGCACCACUACACCAGUAUGUAGUAACUCUGUUUAUAAUUAAUUUUUUGUAAUAAUUUUUUCAAUUAAUAAUAUGUAUAUAUAAUUCAUUUAAUUUAUCUUGAGAUAUUGUUGAUAUUAAGUAGGAUUUUACUAAUUUUAAUUUUUAAAAAAUCUUACAUAUACGCAACUAGUAUAAAAACUACUAAUAUUAUUCUACAAGAAAUAUAUGCAUUUGAAAAGAAUCAAGUCCACUUAUAUGUUAAGUAUAUAAAAUUAUCUAUUAGAAUAUUAACUUCUAAUUAUACUAUUUUUCUUAAUAGUUCUAAUUUCAAAUAUAAGUCUAAAUCGUCAAUAUCAACGGACUAUUAUGUCCUAAGGAACUCUCGAGGUUAAUGCAAUAUUUUUUACUUGCCCUACCCUAAGGCUGGCACUAGGUUUAAAAGCACAAAGAUGUUGAUGACUUAUGUGUUAUGCUUUUCGAAUGCAACCUGGUGAAAAUCUUAAAAAUUGGUGGACUGAUUAUGGAGCCACUUGUUAUGUUUGUACCGUUAGAUAAACGUUUGCUACAUAUGCUCCCGUUUGAUCCAAAGAAAUAUUUUCUAUGGGAAAUUCGUGCAAAGAUCAAAAUUGAAGGAUAUGAAAAGAUAUUUCUGAAGAUAACUUCUCACAAGGUAGUGACUCUUAACAACGUCCUUCAUAUUUAUGAGAUUAGGAAUAACUUAGUCUCUACUAGACUUCUCGUUAAGAAUGGGUUUAAAUGUAUUUUUGUGAUGACCCAACGAUCAUAUUCUGUUUUAGAACUCGAAUCCGUGUUCCGGGGAUUAAAAACCUCAUUUGAUAUCUCUUCGAUUUGCAUGCGCAGUUCGGGCAUGAUUUCGAAAAGCCUUUAUUUGGAAAAAUUAUGAUAUAAUAAAUUUUGGCCAAAAAAGUUAAUUUUAUUGACUUGAUCAAUAUUUUGGGUAAACGGAUAUGGACCCGUGUUCUGGCGGUCUCGAUAGGUCUGUAGUAUAAUAUGGGACCUGGGCGUAUGCCGGGAUUGAAUUCCAAGGUCCCUAGCCUGAGAAAUAAAUUUUUGAUGAAAAUUAUAAGACUUAAAUUAUAAUGGUUUUGAGAAAAUGGUUAGUAUGUGAUCUCGUUGGUAUCGGGUCUGUGUUUUAGUUUCGGAGCAUCGUAUAGGUCCGUUAUAAUAUUUAUAACUUAUCUGUAAAAUUUAUUGAGAAACUAAACUGAUUUGACGUGAUUCGGACCUUCAGUUGAGAAAAUAGAAGUUUUGAAAUUAUCUUGAAAAGUUCAUGCAAUUUAGUGCUAGAUUCGUAGUUAUAUGUGUUAUUUUGACAACUUGAUCGCACGAGCAAGUCUGUAUGAUAUUUUAAGACUUGUGUGUAUGUCUGGUUGGGAGCCCCGAGGGCUAGGGUGAGUAUCAGAUAGGCUAUGGAUUGAUUUAGACUAGGAAUUUUGCCGGUAUACUUCAGGUCUACAAACUUCACAUUUGCGAAGUCUGGAUUGAAAAUGUGAGCAUCAAUUUGUGAAGAAGUUUCGCAUUUGUGAUCUGAAGGGAUGGGAUGGGACCUUCGUAAUUGUGAAGCUCAGGAGAGCAAUUGCAAUAAGAAUAUGUCGCAUUUGCGAACAAUUGUUCGGAUUUGCGAUAGUAGCAGGUCCUGGACAUUCUUUGCAUUUGCGAAGGAAUUUUCACAUUUGCGGGGUUUGCAUAUGCAAACCCCUUAUUGCAAAUGUGAUAUCUGCAACUGUUCAAAAAUGAUUUUGGACGAAAUUUUUCAAUCAUUCUCUCAUUUCUCAAAACCUAAACCACAAGAGGCGAUUUUUCAAAGACCAUUUCUUCCCCAAAUCAUAUGUAAGUGAAUCUUAACUCAUUACUUUUAAUUUUUUUUUCUUCUUUUUACAAGGUUUCAUCAUAGAAUCAAGGGUUUUUCAUGGUGGAAUUGGGGAUUUUUGGGUAGAAAUUAAGGAUCCCAAAAUUUGGGGAAUUAGACCUCAAAUUAAGGCCGGAUUUCAAAACCAAUUGUAUAUUCGAGAUCUUGGAUGAAUGAGUAAUCAGGUUUUGGUACAAAUUUUAUAUUUUGACCAAGCAAGACCGGGGUCAGCUUUUGACUUUUUGGGAAAAAUUAUAAAUAUUCAUUGGAACUGAUUUUUUAGCAAUAAUUGAUGUUAUUAAGUUAAUUAUGACUAGAUACUAGUGGAUUGGAGGUUGAAUCUAAUGAAAAAGCGGUAAUUGAGCUUUGAGUUGGCCGUUGGCUUGAGAUAAGUGUUUGGUCUAACUUUGACUCUAGAGAUUAGGGAUCCCCGACAUAAUCUCUGUGUAAAAUUCCAUAUGUGUGGCGUAUAGGUGUGGUGACGAGUACCUAUGCACCGCAAAUUAUUUGUUUAGCUUGUUGCCUUCCUCGUUCCUAAUAUAUUGUCUUCAUGUCUUAACUGCUACAUGCUUAUUGGUGCGUCCAUGUCUAAUUGCGUCUUGUUAAAUGCUAUUUUCUUUACUAAAGGUAUUAAUUUUCCCAUUGUUUCACUGUUGUCACGACCCCAAAUCGGUUCGGUCGUGAUGGCGCCUCUCGUGAAGACAAGGCCAACCGACACAACACUCACAUUAAUCCUUUAAUCAUUAAAAGUCAUUUUUAAACCUUUAAUUAGAGCAAUAUUUUAUAAUAUAAAUUUGAAGGAAGCAGUGUAAAAUUAAUAUACAAGCCCAACAUCGGGUUAUCACUAGUCAUGAGCGACUAUCAAGGUCUGAAUACAACAAAACUCUAAAAAUAUACUCAGUACAUUAACUGCAAUGAGGGGAAAGAAAUGUGUUGCGAACAUCAUGCAUCCACCUUGCUAACUCUAAUGAUUUAGCGUCCAAGCAAUCCACACCCGCUGCCGGGUUUCUAUAUACCUGAAUAUGCACACGGGGUGUAGGGAGCAAUGUGAGUACUCCAACCCAGUAAGUUAUAUGAGUAAAUAAAGGCUGAGAAGUAGGAAACAAUGAAUCCACAUUCACGUCAGGCUCAAUAAACACAACAGGCUCAAGUGUUUCGUCUAACUAUGAAUCGAGGGAUUCGGGAUCCUCGACAUAAUCUCUAUGUGAAAUUUUGUGUGUGUGCCGUAUAGGUGUGGUGACGAGUACCUAUGCACCGCCAAAUUAUUUAUUUAGCUUGUUGCCUUCCUCGUUCCUAAUAUAUUGUCUUCAUGUCUUAACUGGUACAUGCUUAUUGGUGCGUCCAUGUCUAAUUGCGUCUUGUUAAAUGCUAUUUUCUUUACUAAAGGUGUUCAUUGUCCCGUUGUUUCAUUGUUGUCACAACCCCAAACUGAUCCGGUCAUGAUGAUACCUCUCGUGAAGACAAGGCCAGCCGACACAACAUUCACAUUAACCCUUUAAUAAUUAAGAGUCAUUUUAAACCUUUAAUUAAAACAAUAUUUCAUAAUAUAAAUCUGAAGGAAACAGUGCGGAAUUAAUAUACAAGCGCAACAUCGGGGUGUCUCUGGUCAUGAGCGACUAUCAAGGUCUAAAUACAACAAAAGUCUAAAAAUGUACUAAAUAGAGUAACUGCAAUGAGGGGAAAGAAAUGAUGUUGCGAACUUUAUGCAGCCACCUUGCUAACUCUAAUGACUACGCAUCUAAGCAAUCCACACCUGCUAGCGGGUUCGGAUAUACCUGAAUUUACUCACGGGAUGCAGGGAAUAAUGUGAGUACUCCAAUCUACUAAGUAAUAAGAGUAAAUAAAGGCUGAGCAGUAGGAAAUAAUGAAUCCACAUUCACGUUAGGAUCAAUAAACGCAAUAGGCUUUCAAAUCAUAAUACGAGUCAAUCUUCCCUUCUUUUUUUAAGAUCCACCUUUUAGUAAAAAAAUCAUUUUUGAAAUACUUUCCAGCAGUUUUGGUAGAGGUUCAAUACUAUUUAAAAUAAUAAUAGAGGUUAAAGUCAUAAUCGGCCCCUUAGGCUAAGCAUAGUUCGUAAAACUGGCCCUUGGGGAAAACAAUAAUCAUAAACACCACAUAACUAGAAAAUCUUAGUGGAAAUAACCAAUGCAAAAUCAGUGAUUAAUUUCUGAACACCUCAUAAACCCCAAUUUAAAUAAAAGUUAUUUUAAAAUAUUUGUUCAAAUUUCCGAUAGAGGCUCAAUAUAAAGAUGAGUGAAAACAAUCAAUAAAUCAACUUAUUCAGUCAUCAAUCUCACAAUCAGAACUUGGUCUAUCUUAGUAAAAUAGGGAACUCAGCCCAAAAGAGUUUCCACACUUUUAAGAAUAUAGUGAUAAAGCCAGAUUUCAGUAAUCAAUAGGUAAAACAUUAUUGAGGAUAUGCUUUCAAACAAGUAGAGUGAGAAAGAUAGUAAAAAUACCCCUAAGGGUCUCACCAAAUCGGCACUAAGCCCAAAACAUGGCAUACAAUCCAAAAUAUAAUAACAUCAAACAAUUAACUAUCAAAUACGCAUUAAAUAAUCGUUUGGGAUGAACUAAGUCACAAUCCCCAUCAGUGCUCUACCCCACGCUCGUCAUCUAGCGUGUAAGUCACCUCAAAGUAACACAACAACACGUAAUCCGGGGUUUCAAACCCUCAUGACAGUAUUUACAAUCAUUACUUACCUCAACCCGGCGAAAUCCCUAGAUCGUUGAUGCCUUUGUCCCUUAAACUAGCUCCACACGCGUCGAAUCUAUCCAAAAUCAGAACGAAUACAUCACAAUAUGCUAAGGGAACAAAGCCCUAGCAAAAACAAUCAAUAUCGGCACAAAUCCUGAAAUUACCAAAACCCGAGCACUGGGCCCAUUUCUUAAAACUUAGAAAUUUUUACAUCAACGGGUUCCUUAUCCUCCCACGAGUUCAUACAUAGCAAAAGUUCUAAAAUCCAUCCUCAAAUGGUCCGUCGAAUCCUAGUUCAUAAGUUCAAUUUCUCAAGCCCUAACUCUUCAACUUUAGGCUUAGUUUUUCAUGAUUUUCUUGGUGGAUUUCACAAUAAAACGAGUUUUAAGUUCAAAAAUCUUACCUCCAGGCAAUUCCUCUUGAGACCCUCUUCAAUCCUUUUUCAAAAAGCUCCAAAAUCGACCAACAAUGGAGGAACUUAGCCUCCAAUAUGUGGAAAUGGGCUUUUAAAACAUUCUGCCCAGCACUCAAUUUUUAUUUAAUCGCGAUGGAAAAGCCCUCCCGAUCACAAAGAACAACCCACAAUUACACAACGCAAUUGCCUACUCCCUCACACGAAUGUGAUGCUCAGAAUCUCCAAACUACGCGAUCGUGAAUGAUGAUAGGCGACUCCGAUUGACAGCAAUGCAAAACUACGCAAUCGCGACCCAAUUUAUGCGAAUGCAAAUAGAAUACCUGGAUGCCCCUAAAAAAAAUUUACGUGAUCGCAAAGAGGCAACAUCUGCAAUACAGUUGGAGCCAAAACCUACAAUUUUCCCAACAUGAAAUAGUCCGAUUGACCACCCGAAACUCACCCGAGGCCCUCGGAACCUCAACCAAACAUACCAACAUAAUCCAUAACAUCAUUCAAGCUUUAUCCAAUAAUAAAUAAACCUCAAACAACAUGAAAUUACUCAAAACUCAUCGAAUUCAAGCCUAAGUUUUCAAAAACUUCCGAAAUAUGCUUUCGAUCAAAAUCCCAACCAAAUCACGUCCGAAUGACUUGAAAUUUUGCACACACAUCACAAAAGACAUAAAAAAGCUACAUCAACUCUCGGAAUUCUAAUUUGAACCUCAGAAAAAAUCUUACCUACCAACCAAAAUUCGUCAAAAAUACUAACUUCGUCCAUUCAAGCCUAAUUCUACACUGGACCUCUAAAAUCAAUUCUGAUCACACUCCCAAAUCAUAAAUCACCCAAAAAAGCUAAUCAAAUAAUAAAAAUUCCAAUCUAAGAUCAUAUACAAAUAAGUAAACUCUUGGUCAAAUCUUUCAAAUACAAAACUCUCAACUGAGACUGUUCCUUUAUAUUCAUUUUUUAUUUUUUCUGAAAACCAAAACCAACGAUCUAUAUCAGCCACGGUACAUUAUAUGGGGCAAGUCGUGUUCAAGAAGUGGCGAUCAAAGUGCGAAAGCUCAACACGACUGGUCGAGUCGUUACAAUUGUAUUACAUUAUUGAUUUAAGUUAGUUUAUUGGUGCUUCAUGGUACAUUUCGGUUGGUCUCGCUGUGCGUAUUAAUUGAGUGAAGUUUCAUAAUUGUAUAGAUUUCUCCUUGCUUUGGUUUGAGGGUUAAAUAUUGUAGAAGGUUUUGGCCCAAAAUUCUAAAAUUUCUUUUCUUAUUGUGUGAUUUGUACUGAUAUGGUGGGAUUAGGUUGCAUGCCGCAACAAAAGGAAUAAGGGUGAUAUAUUGAGGAGGAAUAAGGGUGAUAUGUGAUUUUCUGGUGGGAUUGGGUUGCGCUCCGCAACAGGAGUAAUAAAGGGUAGAUUGGUUGGGUCAGGUUGUAUGCCACAACAAGAGGAAUACGGGUGAUAUAUUAAGGAGCAAUAAGGGGGUGCCUUACAUAUCCUUGCAUACCAUUUGCGACUAAGAGACCCUGAAUAUGUAAUGUCAUACCUUGGGAAUGGGCCGCAUUACAAGAUAAUGUGUGAAACAAAAUAUAAAAUUGAAUAGAGAUUAACGCUGACUAAAUAUUAACAUACAGCUGGGCCGGCAAGGCCGUCAUAACUACUACAGUUGACAAGCCAACACAACAAAUAAACAGGGUCUACAAGACCAACAUACUACAGUAACUGACAUGAUAUGUCGACAAGGCUCUACUGAUGGAUGUACUGUGAUACAGGGCCCCGACCUAUCCAUAACCUAUCUAUAUAUACACAAGAUGUACACAGAACUUCUAGACCCGGUAAAUCCAAAGAACGGGGAGCUUAUCGUUAACGCUGAACUCAAGCAACACAUACUGAUGAGGUAUACCCGUCUGUCUGUCUAAACCUGCAUGCAUGAAAUGCAGCCCCAAGAAAGGAACGCCAGUACGAAAUAAUGUACUGAGUAUGUAAGGCAAUAUACUGAAAGCCGAAAUUGAUUUGAUAAUAUAAUAACUGAAAGAAACUGGUGGUCAGAGAUAAUAUGAAUACAUGCUCAUCUGUUUUUCUCUCAAUAUAGUAAGUAAAUUAGAUGUCUGGCUUUACAAAGCUCUCUCUCUCUCUCUCUCUCUCUCUCUAUAUAUAUAUAUAUAUAUAUAUAUANNNNNNNNNNNNNNNNNNNNNNNNNNNNNNNNNNNNNNNNNNNNNNNNNNNNNNNNNNNNNNNNNNNNNNNNNNNNNNNNNNNNNNNNNNNNNNNNNNNNNNNNNNNNNNNNNNNNNNNNNNNNNNNNNNNNNNNNNNNNNNNNNNNNNNNNNNNNNNNNNNNNNNNNNNNNNNNNNNNNNNNNNNNNNNNNNNNNNNNNNNNNNNNNNNNNNNNNNNNNNNNNNNNNNNNNNNNNNNNNNNNNNNNNNNNNNNNNNNNNNNNNNNNNNNNNNNNNNNNNNNNNNNNNNNNNNNNNNNNNNNNNNNNNNNNNNNNNNNNNNNNNNNNNNNNNNNNNNNNNNNNNNNNNNNNNNNNNNNNNNNNNNNNNNNNNNNNNNNNNNNNNNNNNNNNNNNNNNNNNNNNNNNNNNNNNNNNNNNNNNNNNNNNNNNNNNNNNNNNNNNNNNNNNNNNUAUAUAUGUAUAUAUAUAUAUAUGUAUAUGUAUAACUGUUAUGCCAUAGUAGGCUUGCUCAUAGGCGCUCGGUCAUACUAGGCUUUGUAUCUUGACCAACUAGGCUCGCUCAUAGGCGUUCGGCUACAGUAAGCUCGGUGUAUUACUUACCAUAUGAUGGUUGCCCAAUAGGGGCUUGCCCAUCGAUUAUAGCUCGAUGGUAAUGAAGAUACUAUUAUACUGUAUAUAUAGACUCUCUGCUCUCUUGAGUGGAAGAAGGAAAUAUUCAAAUGAAUAUAAAUUCUCAAUAAAGAGAAUAUUUUAACUUACAAAACUAGUAAAAUAUAAGUAACUUGCGAUACUAGCAAAAUAUACGUAAAUUCCGGGAUAAGAAUUUUUCUUUAUGCCUCAUUAUCAAACUUGUGUAAUGACGAGAUCAUGCCAAAAUGGAGGAAAGGCUUAGCUUUAACAAACCUGGAGUAGGAAAAAAUCCGUAUGAUAUUCUUAGAAAAAGUUGUAUCGUACUUCUUUAGAACCGCAAAAUUUCUCUGUUGCUAAGACUAAAAAAAUUCUAGUUGGAAUUAUUGAAACUUGUAAAACAUCACAUUACUUAAGGUAUAAAAUUUGAUUUGGAGUGUUUUUGAGAAUAGAAAGUUGAAAACUUACAAAGAUGGCCUACGUUCCCUGCUUAUAAUUAAAAUGUUUUUGAUAUGGAAAGUCUUGGAAAUGCAAUGAACGUGUAACUAUAGGACACCUAAUAAGAAAUUACUCUUAGUCAUUUCUUUAGGGCGUGGCUUACUGAUACAUAUGAAUGGGGGAAUGUAAUCUUUAUCCACUUCACAUGUAAUUACGUAAUGCCCUGUUACCCGGUAAUUAAUCAAUUAUCCUCAUAAUUAAGAAUUAUCUUAAAUUACUUAAAAUUCUACUUAUUUGUGAUAAAAUUUGUACAUCAUACUAACAUGGUCAUAUGGUAUCUUGUAUGGUACUAGUCCAUAAAUAUCGAGUAUUAUCGCUCAGACUGUAGUUUAUCCCAAAUUGACAACCUUCAGCGAAACUCAUUUUCUCUAAUUCGUGUACCCUUUUAUACUUAAUGGCACUUACUUAUUGCUUGUUAUAAAUAGCACAAAUAUACUAACCUCACUAUAAUCUCAUCCCUAAGUCUACGUCAAUUUACUAAAGAUGAAACUUUAGCAUACGAAAAACGCAAGAUGUAACAGGUGGACAGGUGGGAUAGGGUUGCAUGCUACAACAAGAGUAAUAAGGGUGAAUGUUCAUAUUGUUACUGAUAAUAUGGCGGGAUCGAGAUGCAUGCCGCAUCAUUUUGAUGUUUAUGUGUUCUUCCUCGGAUAUAAUGUUAUUAUGUAGCAUUGUAACCCUCUUAAGGAUUGACUAUAGCUGAGUAAUUGCAAAUUUGAACUACGUAUUUAUUUUUUCUUCAAGUUAUUGUUCCAUUUCAUUCUGUCUUCCUUUUACUUUAUUAUAUACUGUAUGGAAGUUAUACAUCGUAGCCUCGCCAAUACCUCAUCGAGGUUAGGCUAGGCACUUAUCGGUACAUGGGGUUGGUUGUACUGAUACUCUAUGCUUUCUGUGCAAAUUUUGGAGCUGGUUGUGGCUUAUCGAGAGAUCAGUUGCAGAUACUUCAUCUGGGAGACCCAAGGUAGUCUUGCUGGCGUCUGCAAGCCCUAGCGUCCCCUCUUAUGUUUAUAGUUUCCUAUUUUUUUUUCUUUUGAGGUAGAUGUAAUUUCCUUCAGACCAGUAUUUAUAAUAAUUUGUAGUAUGUUCGUGGAUUGUGACACCAGUUUUUGGGUAGUAACAAUUUCGGUUCAGUUAAUAGUAUAUAUAAUAUGUUUAUUAUGUACUUUUGCAUUUAUUCCUGUUGAUUUGGCUUUGUAAAUUUUAACUAUAAAAAUGUAAGGAAAAAUGUCCUGUUUAUUAUGUACUUUCGCAUCUAUUCCUGUUGAUUUGGCUUUGUAAAUUUUAACUAUAAAAAUAUAAGGAAAAAUGUGAGUAUAACUUUAAUGUUGCCUUGCCUAGCGAGUGCGAAGUUAGGUGUCAUCACGGUCCCGACGAUGAAAAUCUGGAUCGUAAAAUUUUUUGUAUCUAAUAAGGUUGUAGUAAGUAAAAAUGGAAUAUUUGUAGGAAAAUGUUACCUCACUGAGGGUCUUUUCAAGCUGAAGGUAAUAGUCGUUGAGAAUAAUAAAAUUUGUACUAUGUUCGUGGAUUGUGACACCAGUUUUUGGGUAGUAACAAUUUCGGUUCAGUUAAUAGUAUAUAUAAUAUGUUUAUUAUGUACUUUUGCAUUUAUUCCUGUUGAUUUGGCUUUGUAAAUUUUAACUAUAAAAAUGUAAGGAAAAAUGUGAGUAUAACAUGUUGCCUUGCCUAGCGAGUGCGAAGUUAGGUGUCAUAACGGUCCCGACGGUGAAAAUCUGGAUCGUAAAUUUUUUUGAAUAAUAAGGUUGUAGUAAGUAAAAAUGGAAUAUUUAUAGGAAAAUGUUACCUCACUGAGGUCUUUUCAAGCUGAAGGUAUUAGUCGUUGUGAAUAAUAAAAUUUCAGCUUCUUCUUACUUGCUUGAGUCAAAUGAUUUAUGGCAUGUACGUUUGGGUCAUGUCAAUUAAAAAACCUUGCGGAAAAUGAUUAACUUGAAAGUAUUGCCUUAGUUUGAAUGCGACAAAUCAAAAUGUCAAAUAUGUGUGAAAUCUAAGUAUGUUAAACAUCCUUAUAAGUUAGUUGAAUGGAAUUCAAAUUCUUUAUACUUAAUUCACAUAGAUAUUUGCGAUAUGAAGUCAAUACCAUCCGCGGUGGAAAGAAUUAUUUCAUAACUUGUAUUGAUAAUAGUACUCGAUAUUGCUAUGUUUACUUAUUUAAUAGUAAAGAUAAAGCAAUAGAUGCAUUCAAGAAAUACAAAAAUGAAUUGAAACGCAACUUAACAAGAAAAUCAAAAUGAUAAGAAGUGAUAGGGAUGGUGAAUAUAAAUCUCUUUUGAAUAAAUAUAUUUCAGAUAUUUGCAACAUGAAGUCAAUACCAUCUCGCGGUGGAAAUAAUCAUUUCAUAACUUUUAUUGACGAUAACACUUGAUAUUUCUAUGUUUACUUACUUAAUAGUUAAGAUAAAGCAGUAGAUGCAUUCAAGCAAUACAAAAGUGAAGUUGAAACGUAACUUUAACGUACGAAAAAUGUGAGAUGUAACAUCAUUCCUCCCUUAGAAACAUUCGUCCUCAAAUGUCUACUCUUAGAUACUUUGGGAAUUUUCUUGCCAGAGUCUCUUCCGUACAUUAGACUAAAACCAACGUAUAUGUAGCCAGAAAAUAUACUAUACAUGCCAUACACGACCACUAUCUAUAAAUAGCAACACUUUUCUUCACACAACUGUCCAUCAUAAAUUAUGAGAGUCAAAAUGAGAGCUUACCUAAUGACUUACUAGCCUAAACAGAGUUGUGCUAAGGUAUCCCACCUCGAGCCAUAUCUUCAGUUUAAAAUAAGUGGGGGUAUUUAGACUUCAUUUCUUCCUCCGCUUCCCACAUCAUCUCUUUCACAUUCUUGCUUCUCCAUAUAACCUUCACAGAGGCUACCUCCUUAUUCCGUAGCUUGUGAAUUUAUCGGUCUAGGAUGGCAACUAGAAUUUUCCCAUAUGAUAAGUCCUAUGUAAUCUGUACAUAAUCCAUGUAGGAUCACCAAUGCACUUUCGUAACAUAGAUACGUGAAAAAACGGAUGGACAAACUCCAGUUCUGAGGGCAAUUCUAACUCAUAAGCUACUUGGCUCAUUCUCCGAAUGAUCCUAUAAGGCCCAAUAUACCGUGGGCUGAGUUUUCCUUUCUUUUCAAACCUCAUCCCACCUUUUAUAGGUGACACAUUUAAGAAUACCCAGUCAUUAACCCCGGACUCCAAAUCUCGUUGGCGCAUGUAAGAAUAUGACUUCUUAUGACUCUAAGCCGUCAACUGUCGCUCCCUCAUAAGCUUUACUUUUUCUGUGGAUUUUGAACUAGGUCCAGCCUAUGUAACCCAGAUUCUCCAACAUCAAACCACCCUAUAGGAUAUUUGCACUUAUGCACAUACAAAGCAUCGUACAAGGCCAUCUGGAUACUGUAGUGGUAACUGACAUACUCGUAACAUAUCCUUGAGCAUCUGAAUUGUGUGCUCGGCUUGUCCAUCGGUCUGUGGAUGAAAAGCUCUGUUGAGAUUCACCUGAGUCAGUAGACCUUUCUGAAAUGACCUCCAAAAAUAUAUUGUAAACUUGUCCCCAUGGUCAGAUAUAAUAGAUAUUGGAUCUCUGUGUAGUCGCACUAGCUCUUUAACAUAUAACUUUGCAUAAUAUUUCUAUUGUAUAUAUAGAUCUGACUCGUAGGAAAUGAGAUAAUUUCAUGAUCUUAUCAACUAUCACCCAUAUGGAAUCGAACUUAUGUGAUAACGAGGUAAACUCGUGAUAAAGUCCAUGUCGCCUCCCAUAUCCAUGUCAGAAUCUUUAUAGUCUACAUUAGCCCUCUGGGAUUCUGGUGUUCUAUCUUCACCUGUUGGCAACUAGGACACUGAGCGACAGACUCAGCAAUGUUCUUCUUCAUAUUGUUCCACCAAUACGCAUCCUUAAUGUUAUGAUACAUCUUCGUUGACCCAGGGUGAAAGGAGUACCACGAACAAUGUGCACCUGACAUAAUCUUGUCUCGUAGCCAUACUAUAUCUGGAACACAUAAAAGACCCAUAUAUUUAAGAAUUCCAUCUCCCUUGGGUUCUCACGACGGGUUCUUUUGCUGUGGAACUCGCUCUCUCAGCUCGACCUACACUGGGUCCUCGUACCGCCUCUCCUUUACUUCAACUAUGAGAGAUGAUUUUGUAGUAUUUUGGAGUACAACUCCACCGUUGCCAGAGUCUACUAACUGAACCUCCAAACAAGCCAAUUGAUGAAUCUCUCUAGUUAAUUAUCUUUUUUGGUAUCUACAUGUGCUAAGCAACCCAUAGAUCGGCAACUUAAGGCAUCUACAACAACAUUAGCUUUCCCUGGAUGGUAGAGAAUGUUAAGAUUGUAAUAUUUCAAUAAUUCAAGCCAUCGCCUCUAUCGGAAAUUCAACUCUUUUUGCUUGAAAACAUACUAUAAGAUUUUAUGAUAUGUGAAUACAUCAACAUGAACACCAUAUAAAUAAUGCCGCCAUAUCUUAAGUGCAUGGACAACCGCAACUAACUCGAGGUCAUGGGUAGGAUAAUUCUGUUCGUGCUUCCUUAGAUGCCUUGAAGAAUACAUAAUUCCCUUCCCAUGUUGCAUCAGGAUGCAUCCUAACCCGAUACAUGAGGCAUCACAAUACAUAGCAUAACCAUCUGGACUUUUUGGAAGUGCUAGAACUGGUGUUGAGGUCAACUUGUUCUUAAGCUCUUGGAAACUCUGCUCACAGGCCUUUGUCCACCGAAACUUACUUACUUUCUGUGUAAACUUUGUUAAUGGUGCUAAAAGAGAAACAAACCCCUCUAUGAACCUUUGGAAGUAUCCUGCUAAGCCUAGAAAGCUAAGAACCUCUAUUGGGGUGGUAGGUCUAGGCCAAGAUUUCACAACCUUAAUCUUCUUAUUGUCUACCUUUAUUCCUCAUCAGAUACAAUAUGCCCUAAGAACGCUAUAAACCUCAACCAUAACUCACAUUUAGAAAACGUACCAUAUAAUUUACUAUCACAGAGGGUUUAGAGCAUCACUCGUAGGUGUUCUGCAUGCCCAUCAUCUGAAUGUGAAUAAACUAGAAUAUCAUCAAUAAAUACUAUCACGAACAGAUUUAAAUAUGGCCGGAAUAGGCUAUUCAUUAAGUCCAUAAAUAUGGCAUGUGUAUUCGUCAACCCGAAGGACAUACAAGGAACUCAAAGUGGCUAUAUCGAGUCCUGAAGGUUUCUUGGGAAUAUCUUUCUUCCGAACUCUUACCUGGUGGUAUCCCGACCUCAAAUCUAUUUUUGAAAAAUAUCUAGCUCCCUGCAACUGAUUAAACAAGUCAUAUAUCCUUGAAAGUGGAUACUUAUUCUUAAUAGUUACCUUGUUCAGUUGCUUAUAAUCGAUACACAUCCUCAGCGAGCCGUCUUUUUUCCGUACAAACAAUACUGGUGCACUCCAAGGUAAGGCACUAGGUCUGAUAAUCUCCAAAAAAAAAUUUAACUGCCAGUUCAACUCCUUCAAUUUGGAAGGUGCCAUUCUAUAUGGAGGGAUGUAUAAUGGUGGUGUUCCGGGUAGCAAAUCUAUGCCAAAAUCAAUCUCUCGCGUUGGAGGAAUACUUAGAAGUUCAUAUGGAAUUACAUCCACGUACUCCUUUAAAACAGGAAUAGACUGGAGUGUAGGUAUCUCAACAUCUACAUCUCUAAAUCGUACAAUAUGAUAGAUGCACCGUUUUGCAAUCAUUUUCCUUGCCUUCAGUUAGGAAAUAAACCUACCCCUAGGUGUCGCUGUAUUACCUACCCAUUCAAGGACUAGCUCACCCAGAAAAUGAAAUCCGGCUAUCUUUGCUCGACAAUCAAUUGUGGCAUAACAAGCUACCAACCAUCCCAUGCCUAUGAUAAUAUCAAAAUCCAACAUCUCUAGAUCAUCAACUAGGUUGGCUAAGGUUUGACGACCACAAACGGUUACCGUACAACAUCGGUAAACCAGUCUAGCGACAAUUCAUUCUUUGAUCGGUAUAGAUACCGCAAAAAGGAUCACGUAGUAUUUCAGGAACUAUACCAAAUGUCCUCGCGACAAAUGGGGUAAGACAUGAUAAAGUAGAUCUUGUGUCUAUCAAGGCAUAAAUAUCGUGAGAACAAAUGGUCAACAUAGCUAUCACAACCUUUGGUGAGGACUCUUGGUUCUGGUUACCACCUGAACUGGAACUUCUACCUUUGCCUCGACCUCUACCAGCCGAAGACUAAGACUCGUGCCUUGAAAGAAGCAUGGGCAUAGAUGAUCAUGUUGUUGAAUUCGCUGGUUAUGCCAUACCCCUAGAAUCUAUAUUUGGGCAAUCUCGCAUCAUAUGCCCCAGAUGUUCAUAUGUAUAAAAAGCAUCAGAACCAGCUCAGCAUGGCUCAAGUGUCCUCUACCAUAGAUGGCACACCGUGGAGGAAAUGGCUAUGUCUACCUUGAACCUCCUUAUUGCUAUAACCCGAUGCCUGGGAGCUCCUACCUGGUCCUGACUGAGUGUAGUUGUCAUACCUAUAACCCUGUAGCUGAGGUAGCUAAGGUCUAGGUGGCCAUUCAAAGUACUGGGGCCUGUAACUACCCUAAAACUGCUCCCGAGACCUGGAAAAUCUCAUCUUCUUACACUGCUUUGAGUCAUUCCUCUCCGUACCUUGCUGUAGAUGCCUACCCCUUUCUAUAUUCUGGGAAAAUGCUUGAAUCUGAGAGAUAUCCAUACUAUCAUAUAAUGUGCCUCGGUCAAGUAUGGGGCCAACCCUACCAUAAAUAUGUGGGUUUUAUCCCGCAUAGUAGCAACUAUGAAUGGUGCAUAUCUGGUCAAUGAGUCAAAACGGAGACUAUACUGUCGAACACUAAUAUUUCCCGCUUAAGGGCUAAACAUUGAUUGACUCGGGCCUGUCAGAUCUCUCGCAUUAAGUAAUAGCCAAGAAAGGCAUCUGAAAAAUUCUCCCAAAUAGCCGGAGGUGCAUCACAUCCCCUAGACCUUUCCCAUCCCUCGUACCAAAGGAUGGAUAUAUCUUGGAGUCAAAAAGGUACUAGCUCAACUGCCUCUUUCUACGUGGCAUGCAUAACCCAAAAGAUCAUGUAGAGUUGAUCUAUGAAGUCCUAUGGGUCUUCCCUCUGAUCUAUCCCUGUGAACUCUGGGAGACUCAAAGCAAUAAACUCUUGGAUUUUUGAACUCCCAGACCCCUCAGAAGGUCCUGCACUAGAGGAUGCCCUAGUCUGUUGCUGGGUAGCUACCAACUGUGCCAACAAAUGCACCGCCACUUCUCAAGUCCUGAUAUGAUGGAGGCGGUGGGGGAACUAGAUGUGCGGUCUCCUUAGGAAUCUUCUCAAGUGGUAGAGGAGCAAGUAAUGGCUAAGUAGGGCUCUCUCUAUAGGCCUCAUAUGGGGCCCUAUCUACUAGGGGUACCCUACUAGUCCCCUUACCUGCUGUUGUAUCUCUCCUCUGGCUAGCCGUAGUCUUCCUAAUUACCUUCAUCUAUGCAUGCAAAUGCCAACACAUAACCUUAACUCAAAUUUCCUAUAACUCGGUGCUACAACACGAUUUAGAUUUGAAAGAAAGGUAGUCAACUCUGAUAUGCCAUGUAGUCCCCUAAUUAUAAAAAGUAGUGCACCACACAUCUAUAAACAAGACCCUACUAAAUACUACUUGUAGAUUUCCUAGGACAGAAUUGCUCUGAUACCAUUUUUAUCAUGCCCCGAGCCUGGGGCGAGACCGGCACUAGGUCCCUUACCUAUCCUUGCAUACCACUUGCAACUAAGAGACCCUAAACAUGUAAUGUCAUACCUUGGCCAUGGGCCACAUUACAUGAUAAUGUGAGAAUCAAAAUAUAAAAUUGAAUAGAGAUUAACGCUAACUAAAUGUCAACAUACAUCUGGGCCGGCAAGGUCGUCAUAAUAAUAAAACAUAUAUACAGGGCAUACAAGACCAACAUACUGCACUAACUGACAGGAUAUGUCUACAAGCCUCUACUGAUGGAUGUACUGUGAUCGGAACAGUGCCCCAACCUACCUAUAACCUAUCUACAUAUAUACACAAGAUGUACACAAAAUUUCUAGACCCGAUAACUCCAAAGAAAGGGGAGCUUACCGAUAAUGCUAAACUCGGGAAACACCUACUGAGGAGGUUUACCCAUCUGUCUGUUUGAACCUGCACGCAUGAAAUGCAGUGCCCAUAGAAAGGGACGUCAGUACGAAAUAAUGUACCGAGUAUGUAAGGCAAUAUAUUGAAAGCUAAAACUAAUUUGAUAAUAUAAUAACUAAAAGCAACUGAGAGUCAAAGAUAAUAUGAUGAUAUGCUCAUCUAUUGUUCUCUCAAUAUAGUAAGUAAAAUAGAUGUCCGGCCUUAUAAGGCUUAAUGUGUGUGUGUGUAUAUAUAUAUAUAUAUAUAUAUAUAUAUAUAUAAAUCGGUGAUUUUGUUAGGUUGAUUUUGAGUCAAUUUUCACCAACCCGAUUCAGGAUGAUUUGUAUUUGCAAGUCAAGAAAUCGAGAUAAUGGAUUUCUUAACCAAUAUCGGGGUUUCUUCGAUUUCUUAUUUGGCUUUUUUUGUAGGGGGGUGGGGGGUGUUUCAGGUAAUUUCUUAACCAUUGUUAUUGCUUGUUUCUUUAUGUUCCUGACAAUGAAGAUGAUGAUAGAAAAAAAUAAGGGAAAAAAUAUAUAUGUGGCGAUAAAAUGAGGCUUCAGAUACUUUUUCUUAUUAUUUACGUGCGUACUUUUGGUUUAAAAAACACUCUUGUCAUGGAUCAAAUGACAUGUUAUUGACACAUUUUAAAAGGUUUAGUGUGUAAUGUUAAACCCGUGAUCAACAUGUGUGUAUUAGAGAAGUAGGUACAAGGUGGAUGGGUAAAAAAUAUUUUAUGUCAUUUUACAAAGAAGGGGAUGACUUAAAUGACUAGGCUCUGUAUCUCAACCAAAUGGGCCGCUCAUAGGCGCUCGGCCACAGUAAGCUCGAUAUAUUACUUACCAUCUGAUCAGAGAUUUCCUAAUAGGGGUCUGCCCAUCGAUUAUAGCUCGAUGGUAAUGAAAAUACUAUGCUACUGUAUAUAUAUACUCUCUUUUCUCUUGACUAGAAGAAGGAAAUACUCACAUGAAUAUAAAGUCCCGAUAAAGAGAAUAUUGUAACUUAGAAAACUAGAAAAAUAUACGUAACUUGCGAGACUAGCAAAAUAUACAUAAAUUUCAAGAUAUGAAUUUUUCUUUAUGCCUCAUUAUUAAACUUGUGUAAUGACGAGAUCAUGCCAAAAUAAAGGAAAGGCUUAGCCUUAACAUACCUAGAGUGGGAAAAAAUCUAUAUGAUAUUUUUGGAAAAAGUUGCAUCAUACUUCUUUAGAACCACAAAAUUUCUCCGUUGUUAAGACUCUAAAAAUUCUAGUUUGAAUUGUUGAAACUUGUAAAAGAUCACAUUGCUUAAGGUAUACAAUUCGAUUUGGAGUGUUUCGCAGAAUGGAAGGUUGAAAACUUACAAACAUGACCAACGUUCCCCACUUCUAGUUAAAUUAUUUUUGAUAUGGAAAGUCUUGGAAAUGUAAUGAAUGUGUAAGUAUAUGACACCUUAAGAAAUGACUCUUAGUAAUUUCUUUUAGGGUGUAUCUUACUUCCACAUGGGGAUGUGUCACGACUCUAAACCUGGACCUGAGCGUGAUAGCACCUCUCGUGAAGAUAAGACCAACUGACUCUUCCCAUUUUAGUAAUUACUAGUUAAACAGUAAGAGACUGUCUAAAGCAAGAUGAAAUAAUCAAAAGUUUAAGAAGAAAAUAGCAUAAUAUGCGGAAUACAACCUAACACAGCCCGAUUCCGGGGUGUCACUAGUCAUGAGCAUCUAACCAAUAUGGAAUACUCAAGGAAGUCUACAGAGUUUAAUACAAAAACGAAGAGCAUGAAGAAAUAAGAUAGGUAUGAAGCUCCGUGCUACGAACACCAACAGCUACCUAGAGACUCAUCGGAUCCGCCUUAGCUGGAAAAGGAUCAGCACUCGCGAGCCGGACCAGAUACGCCUGAAUCUACACAUGGAUUGCAUGGAUUAAAGUGAACACUUCAACUCAGUGAGAAUAAUCAUAAAUAAAGACUAAGCAUAAAAAACAUAAGGCACAUUACCGGCAAUAGUGAAGCAGUAAAACAAGUAAAAAUAGUAACUCGGUAAAAAUAUCAGAAAAACAUUUUGUUCAACUUAAACUUCAUAAAAAGAAUUUCCAACAAUUAAACAUACAGGUUUGUCCCUCGGACACAGUAUCAACAAAUCCUCCCCUCGGGCAAUAUCUCGAAACAAUACCAGCCCCUCGGGCUACAUCUCAAAUACAUGUGUACACUCGCUCACUGGGGGUAUGCAGACUCCUGGAGGGGCCCCUUAUGUCCCAAGCGCAGUAUCAAGCCAUUUCGUGGCAUCAUUACUAGGCCCUCGGCCUCAUAUCAAUCAAGCCACCUCGUGGCGUACGUAUCUCAGGCCCUCGGCCUCAAAUCAUGAUAAGUGUUUCCUCACAACAUAGGCCCUCGGCCUUACUCAGUCAAAUAUCCUCACAAGCUACUCGGUUGUAAUUAAACAUGAUUUCUCAGCCCAAUUAUCAUUUAAAAGAUCACAAAAGUGUUAAAACAUAGUAAACAUGGCUGAGUAUGAAAACAAAAAAAUAGAUCAUGAUUGAGUUCAAGCAUAAAAUCAAAACAAUGGGAAAAUAUAAAUAAAAAUCCCCGAAGGGGUUCAAAUAUUUGGCGCGAGGCCCAGAUAUAGCAUUCAACCCAAAUAAUGAUGAUAGCAAAUAGAUUUCAGUCAAAUAUGCGAUAAAAUAGUCAUUUGAGAUAGACCAAGUCACAAUCCCUAACAGUUUACGACCACACGCUCGUCAUCAAACCUGUAUGUCUUGUCACCUCAAUAUAGCACAACAAUGUAAAAAUCGAGGGUUUCAUACCCUCAUAAAACCAUUUACAAUCAUUACUCACCUCAAACAGGUCAAUUUUGUCACGAAACGGAUUUACUCACCAUCGGGAGUCGUGAUGACGCCUACUGUCGAAGCUAGGCAAGCCAACCCUUAUAAUCAUUUUCACAAAACUUAAUCUAAAAUAAGUUAAAUACUAGAAUAAUUAAUUAAAGCAUGCGGAAGUCUUUUAAUAACAAUAACGAAUACAAGGUACGGAAAACUAACAACCUGUCUCUACCUAGUAUCUGGUGUCACUGCUCACGGACGACUAAAAGAGUACUAAAAACAACAGUCUAAAAUAAAUACAUAAUAUGUCUGUUUGAUACAAUUAAACAAAUUGAAAGAAAUAGAUAGAGGAGACUCGGGGCCCGCGAACGCCAGCGAACUACCUCAGAGCCUCUGGAUAAAUACAUAAUAUGUAUGUUUGAUACAAUUAAACAAACUAAAAGAAAUAGAUAGAGGAGACUCGGGACCCGCGAACGCCAGUAAACUACCUCAGAGCCUCUCGGCUGAAGGAUCACUCCCGAACUAUAGCUGCGGUCCGUAGGCUGGGUCCUGACUUGUGCACAAAAGGCACAAAAGCGUAGUAUCAGCACAACCGACCCCAUGUGCUGGUAAAUGCCCGGCCUAACCCCGGUGAGGUAGUGACGAAGCUAAACCGGACCUACCACAAUCAACCUGUACAGAUGUAUGUGCAGUAACAGAAAAUAACAAAUUCUAAACAGAUAGUUGGAAGGGGACACGCUGGGGGUGUAGCAGUUCAAUUAUCUAAUCAUCAACAACAAGGAAAUGGAAACAGUAUAACAAACACCAAUAUGAGAAAGACCGUAAGACAAACGUUGCACGGCACCACCCAUCGUGCUCUUACUCUCGUUCUCACCAAGAUAAUCCAUCACAGUGUACGGUAUCACCCAUCGUACUUUAUCACUCAUCCUCAUCCAAUCAAUAGUAUGGAGUAGCUCAAUGAUUACAAGCAUCUACAGUGGAUGGCGCGCCACACGCUCCCGUAUUCUCUAUGCACAAUGUCACCAGCAUCUCAGGCCAAAAACAAUAGGUGGACGGCGUGCCACACGAUCCCAUAAUAAAUGUCAUCGGCAUCUCAUGCCAAUAAUAAUAGGUGGACGGCAUGCCACACGAUCCCAUAAUAAAUAUCUCGUGGUCGGCGUGCCAUACGAUCCCAAUAUGUAAUGCAAUUGAAUAAUUCGAACAAUCUCUUUACAGAAUAUCCCGAUAGGGAAGCACAUCAAUAUAACAGUCUAACCCGGCAAGGGUACAGCUAACAGCCCAAAAUAUCCUGGCAAGGGGAGAACAACUCCAAAAUAAGUCCCGGCAAGGGAAAACGAUUCAACAACAAAUCCCGGCAAGGGAAAACACCAUAAUUCCUUCCUUAACUCAUUUUCUUCUCAACUAUCAUUUCACAGUUCGUUUAACAAGUAAUUAUCACAAUUGUUCACUUCUUUCGACAAUUUAAUAGCAAUUAUGACUCACGGUCAUGCUAGACUUAGGCACAUAGGUCCUAUACACCGACUCCACAUAGCACAUAGAAAAUAUUAACCUAAUCAUAUUCCCUCAAGCCAAAGUUAGAUCGAACACUUACCUCGAAAGCAUCCAACUCAACUCACGCUUCUAGAAUAUCUUUACCCCUCGAAUUCACUUCAAAACCGAUCGAAUCUAACCACAAUUUACUCAAAUGUAUCAACAAAUGCUAGUUAAAUCAAUUUGAAUGCAUAAGAAUGAAAUUCUCAAACUUUUAUCCAAAAAUUUCCAAAACGCCCCCGGGCCCAUGUGUUCAAAACCCGAGGUUCGAACCAAAAUCGGAUUUCCCAUUCCCCCACGAGUUCAUAUAUGCACUUUGUUUUCAAAUCGGGACGCAAAUUGAGGUCCAAAUCCUCAAUUUUAUGAAAACCUAGGUUAUACCCCAAAUCCCCCAUUUUAAUCAUGAAAGCUUUGAUUUAAGGAUGAAAUCAUGUUAGAAGAUGAUAAAGAUUGAAGAAAACUAGNNNNNNNNNNNNNNNNNNNNNNNNNNNNNNNNNNNNNNNNNNNNNNNNNNNNNNNNNNNNNNNNNNNNNNNNNNNNNNNNNNNNNNNNNNNNNNNNNNNNNNNNNNNNNNNNNCGCCUAUGGUGAUUUUGGGUUUUGAAAGAUAUGAAAAGUGAGGUUUAAAUUCGUUUAAGAAUCAGUUGCAGGGGUGCAGAUGUCGCAAAUGCGGUAUUGACUUCGCAUAAGUGAACUGGGGUAAAAUGAAAGGGACCUCGCAAUUGCGAGAAAAUAGUUCACAAUUGCGAACUGGGCAGGGAAAGGGGGGAAACUCGCAUUUGUGAGAAAAGGUUCGCAAAUGCGAACAUAGGCUUGGGCUAGGGAAACUCGCAUUUGUGAGAUUGGACUUCGCAUUUGCGAAGUCUGGUUACAAAGGGGGAGGAUCGCAAUUGCGAAUGAGAUUUCGCAUUUCUGAAGGCUGGCCAACCAAGGGAGGGUCGCAUUUGCGAGCUAAGUCUUCGCAAUUGCAAAGACUGCAGACACCAACAGUGGAAAUGCAACAAAAUGAGCCUAACACCUACCUGNNNNNNNNNNNNNNNNNNNNNNNNNNNNNNNNNNNNNNNNNNNNNNNNNNNNNNNNNNNNNNNNNNNNNNNNNNNNNNNUGAAACUCACCUGAGCCCUCGGGGCUCCAACCCAAACAUGCACCCAACCUCUAAAUCGCCAAAAUAACAUCUAAGUCAAAGAAUCAACCUCCAAAACUUAUGAUUUUCAUUUCAAGUUAAAUACUUUAAAACUUUUUGGCUUUUAGUCCGAAACACGUCAAACGAUGUUCGUUUUCAACCAAACUUUACAGGUAGCGCUUAAUGCCCAUUUAAGACUUGUACCGGGUUUUUGAACCAAAAUGCGAGCCCAAUACCAUCACUUUUGAUCAAAAUUUCAUUUCCAUUUACCUUAAGCAUUUUCAAAAAUAAUCACAUAAAAGCUCCGUACUCGGGCCUGGGACCUUGGAUUUCGAUUUUGCAAAUACGCCCGGGUCCCAAAUUUCAUUACGGACCCUCCCGGACCGUCACAUCACGGGUCCGGGUCCGUUUACCCAAAACAUUGACCAUAGUCAAAUAUAGCAAUCUUAGUAUCAAAAUUCAUAGUUUUAACAUAGAAUUUAAAUAUUUUCACAUUAAAAUCUUCUGGCUACGCACCCGGACUACGCACGUAAAUUGAGGCAACCAAAUAAGAGGUUUUCAAGGCCUCAGAAGCACAAGGAAAUGGAGAAUUAUAGUGAUGAACCUUUGGGUCGUCACUUCCUCCACCUCUAUAACAAUCAUUCGUCCUCAAACGGACAAAAGAAAUGAGUACUUGAGUCGGGGAAUAGAUGGGGAUAAUAGCUCCGCAUAUCAAACUCAGACUCCCAGGUCGAUGCCUCAGGAGGCUGACCUCUCCACUAAACUCGCACUAAAGGAAACUCUGCGACCUCAACUGUCGGUCUAAAAUAGCCACCGGCUCCUCCUCAUAUGACAGAUCCUUGUCCAAUAGGACAGUGCUGAAAUCUAACACGUGGGUGGGAUCACCGUGAUACUUCCGAAGCAUGGAUGCAUGGAAAACCGGAUGCAUAACUAACAAGCUAGGUGGCAACGACUGCCUAUAAGCCACAUUCCCCAUACGGUCCAGAAUCUCAAACGGGCCAAUAUACCUAGGGCUAAGCUUGCCCUUCUUCCCAAACCUNNNNNNNNNNNNNNNNNNNNNNNNNNNNNNNNNNNNNNNNNNNNNNNNNNNNNNNNNNNNNNNNNNNNNNNNNNNNNNNNCCUAGGGCUAAGAUUGCCCUUUUUCCCAAACCUCACCACGCCAUUCAUAGGCAAUACACGAAGGAACACUCGCUCACUAACCAUGAAAGCAACAUCCCUGACCUUACGAUCUGCAACACUUUUCUGCCUGGACUGAGAUGACCGAAGUAUGUCCUGAAUGAUCUUGACCUUAUCCAAGGCCUCCUACACCAAAUUUUUACCUAACAACCGAGCCUCUCCAGGCUCAAAAUCAUUCAACUGGGGACUGACACCUCCUACCAUACAACGCCUCAUACGGGGCCAUCUGAAUACUGGACUGGUAGCUGUUGUUGUAGGCNNNNNNNNNNNNNNNNNNNNNNNNNNNNNNNNNNNNNNNNNNNNNNNNNNNNNNNNNNNNNNNNNNNNNNNNNNNNNNNNNNNNNNNNNNNNNNNNNNNNNGGCAGGUGGACUGGUAGCUGUUGUUGUAGGCAAACUCCGCUAACGGGAAGAAAUAGUCCCACGAGCCUCCAAAAUCAAUAACGCAGGCUCUAAGCAUAUCCUCAAGAAUCUGAAUGGUCCUCUCGGACUGACCGUCCAUCUGGGGGUGAAAUGUUGUACUCAACUGGACCUGGGUACCCAACUCAUGUUGCACCGCUCUCCAGAAAUGCGAGGUAAACUGCGGACCCCGAUCUAAAUUAAUAGAUAUGGGCACCCCAUGUAGGCGAACGAUCUCCCUGAUAUAAAUCUCUGCAUACCUCUCGGAUGAAUAGGUGGUGGCAAUCGGGAUGAAAUGCGCUGACUUAGUCAGCCUAUCAAUAAUAACCCAUAUAACAUCAAACUUCUUCCGAGUCAUCGGAAGGCCAGUAACAAAUUCCAUGGUGAUUCUCUCCCACUUCCACUCGGGAAGCUCAAUCCUCUGAAAUAAUCCACCGAUCCUCUAAUGCUCGCACUGACGUGCUGACAAUUUAGACAACGAGCCACAUAUGCAAUAAUGUCUUUCUUCAUUCUAUGCCACCAAUAAUGCUAUCUCAAACCCUGAUGAAUCUUCGCAACGCCCGGAUGAAUAGAAUACCGAGAACUGUGGGCCUUCGCUAAGAUCGAAUCUCGAAUACCAUCAACAUUGGGUGCACAAACUCGCCCCUGCAACCUCAAUAUGCCAUCAUAUCCAAAAGUCAUCUCCUAGGCACCUCCCCUCUACACCAUGUCUCUCAGGACACACAAAUGGGGGUCAUCAAACUGCCGCUCCCGGAUAUGCUCCAUGAGUGACGAGCGAGCAACUGUACAAGCUAACACCCUGCUGGGCUCAAAAAUAUCCAAUCUCACCAAUCUAUUGGCCAAGGCCUGAACAUCCAAGGCAAGCGGUCUCUGGCUUACCGGAAUAUAUGCAAGACUACCCAUGCUGGCGGACUUUCUACUCAAGGUAUCGGCCAACACAUUGGCCUUCCCUGGGUGGUAUAAAAUAGAAACAUCAUAAUCUUUCAACAACUCCAACGGACUUUCUACUCAAGGUAUCGGCCAACACAUUGGCCUUCCCUGGGUGGUAUAAAAUAGAAACAUCGUAAUCUUUCAACAACUCCAACCACUUCCGCUGUCUCAAAUUCAACUCUUUUUGCUUGAACAAGUACUGAAGGCUCUUGUGAUCCGCGUACACCUCACACGUCACACCACACAAAUAAUGCCUCCAGAUAUUCAAGGCAUGAACAAUGGCUGCCAACUCUAAGUCAUGAACUGGAUAAUUCUUCUUAUGGACCUUCAACUACCUCAAAGCAUAUGUUAUGACCCUGCUACUCUACAUAGACACUGCGCCAAGCCCAACCCGAAAAGCAAUACAAUAAACCGUAUAAGGUCCUGAUUCCGUAGGCAAAAAUCAAUUCCGGUGCGCCCCAAGGCGAAACUCUGGGCCUAACGAAACCCUUAUCAAGCAAAUCCUAAAACUCUUCCUUGAACUCUCUCUCAACUAUGGAGGGGCCAUGCGAUACAAAGAAAUGGAAAUAGGUUGGCUGCCCAGCGCCAGAUCAACGCGAAGAUCAAUAUCCCUGUUAGGAGGCAUACCCGGCAGGUCUGAUUAAAAAAAAACAUCGGGGAAGCUCCCGAACAAUAGGAACAAAACAAACGGAAGGAACCUCUACGCUAGAGUCGCAAUCAUAUGCCAUUUGAGCUAAGCACUCCUAUCUUAACCAUGCAUCGAGCGUUCACAUACAAUAUCGCACUGCGGGUCGGAUGAUCUAAAAUUCCUCUUUAUUUUUCCCGGUAAAACCAAGGUCAGGGAGACAACUAAUCCAUCCUCAAUAUGACGUCAAAGUCCACCAUCUCUAAGAGCAAUCAGUUGACACGGGUCUCAAGACCCUCAAACAUCACCACACAAGAACGAUACACUUGGUCGACCACUAUGGAAAUCACCAACUGGCGCAGACACAUAGAUAGAAACACCCAAAGCCUCUCUGGGCAUGAUCUAAUGGGGUGCGAAAUAGAACGACAAAUAAGAAUACAUAGAUCCACGGACAAAUAGUACUGAAACACCUCUAAUACAAAUCAAAUUGGUACCUGUGAUCACAGCAUAUGCUGACUCGACCUCCGGCCUGGCGGGCAAAGCAUAGCAAUGCGGUUGACCCCCUACUCCCUGAACUAUAUCUCUGGGAUGAUCUGCUGCGAGCUGACCUCUACCUCUGGCGGUCUGAGCUCCACCUCUAUGCUCCCUACCUCCACUUCUAUGGCCUCUACCCCCGGGGCGGCCUGUGGAUUGUCUGCUCCCUGAACCAUGGGAUGAGGACCCUGCUGCUGCGAACUGCUGGAAGCUCGAGGGCAAUACUUGGCAAUGUGCCUCAGGUCACCGCAAGUGAAGCAAGCCCUUGGCUGCUGAGAAUAUCGAAGCAGUUGCUGGGCGGGAUAGUACCACUGAAAACUGCGACCGCCUGGUGUACCAUGAGAAGCCUGAAGAGCUGACUGGAGGGGCCUCGGGGGAUGGACUUCGUCAUGGAAAUCCCUACCUCCAUAUGAGAUACCACUAAAUCUUCCAGAAUUGUCGAGGCCUCUUGUCUAUCCGUGACUACCCCUCGAGCCAGUGCCAUCUCUACUCGGCGGGCCGCAUUGGCCGCCUCCUAAAAACUAAAGUCACUGCCAACCCCCAUAGCCAUAUGAAGGCGAAUCGGCUGAAUCAAUCCAUCAAUGAUCCUCCGGACCCUCUCUCGAUCUCUAGGAAGUAUCCCACCACAUAGCGUGCCAAGUCUAAAUUUGGUCUCAUACUAUGUAACUGUAAUUGUCAUGGAGCCCUGUUAAAGGCGCUCAAACUGCCUGCGAAGUUCCUCCCGCUGAGUGACAGGGAGGAACUUCUCCAAAAACAACUCCGCAAACUGAUCCCAUGUCAAGACUGGUGACCCUACUUGUCUAGAUAGGCAAUAAUCCCUCCACCAAGUUUUGGCGGAUCCCACAAGUCUGAAAGUGCAAAAAUUGACCCCAUUGGUCUCUACUAUCCCCAUAGUGUUGAGGAUCUCAUGAAAACUGCAUAUGAAGUCCUGGGGGUCCUCUGUAGAAGUACCGCUAAGGGUGGUAGUGAAAAGAUUGGAGAACCGAUCAAGUCUCCACAAAGCAUCCGAAGACAUGGCUGCUCCAUCAUCGGCCUGAGCUGUAAUACUUGUCUGAGCUACCACUACGGGCUGAACAAAGGAAACAUGAGUCUGGGGAGCUACCUUCUCCGGAGUACGCAUAGCAGGAGUCUCAACCCCUCCUCCAGCCUGCGAAAUGGCUGGUGCUACUGGCAGCAAUCCUGCUCUAGCGACACUAUCCAUAAAACCUGCUAUACGGACAAGAGCAUCCUGGAGAUCCGAAGAAAGCAUCACUCCUCCUGGGACCUGAGCUAGGCCCACUGGAGCUGGUGGAACUGGAAACUCCUCAUCGAAGUCAAUAUGAGGCUCCGCCUCUGGAACUGCUGCCUGGGGCUAAGCUCUGCCCCUGCCACGGCCUCUGGCAUUGGCCUCGGCCCCUGCCCCUAGCGGGAGCUGCUGCUGGGGGCUCGGGCUGCUGCGCAGAAGAAGAAGACGCACUUGUUCUCUCCAUGUACGAAAGAAUAGAGUCGAACGACAAUCAAUAUUUGGGGACAGAAUCGCACGACAAGAAUGAACAAAGUGAAACUUUUCCUAACUACGUAGCCUCUGGGGGAUAAAUACAAACGUCUCCGUACCGAUCCCUCAGACUCUACCGAGCUUGAAAUUUUUUUGCUAACUCUAUAGCCUCUGGGGGAUAAAUACAGACGUCUUCGUACUAAUCCCUCAGACUCUACCGAGCUUGUCCGUGAGUUGUGAGACCCAAGUAACCUAGUGCUCUGAUACCAACUUUGUCACGACCCGGAUUUACCCACCAUUGGGAGUCGUGAUGGCGCCACUGUCGAAGCUAGGCAAUCCAACCCUUAUAAUCAUUUUAACAAAACUUAAUAAAAAACAAGUUAAAUACUAGAAUAAUUAAUUAAAGCAUGCGGAAGUCUUUUAAUAAUAAUAACGAAUACAAGGUGCGGAAAACUAACAACCUGUCUCUACCCAGUAUAUAGUGUCACUGCUCACGGACGAGUAAAGAGUACUAAAAACAACAGUCUGAAAGAAAUACAUAAUAUGUAUGUUUGAUACAAUUAAACAAACUGAAAGAAAUAGAUAGAGGAGACUCGGGGCCCGCGAACGGCAGCGAACUACCUCAGAGCCUCUGGACCGAAGGAUCACUCCCGAACUAUAGCUGCGGUCUGUAGGCUGGGUCGUGACCUGUGCACAAAAGGCACAGAAGCAUAGUAUCAGCACAACCGACCCCAUGCCCCGCGAACGCCAGUAAACUACCUCAAAGCCUCUAGACUGAAGGAUCACUACCGAACUAUAGUUGCGGUCCGUAGGCUAGGUCCUAACCUGUGCACAAAAGGCACAGAAGCGUAGUAUCAGCACAACCGAUCCCAUGUGCUGGUAAGUGCCCGGCCUAACCUCGGCGACGUAGUGACGAGGCUAAACCGGACCUAUCGCAACCAACCUGUGCAGAUAUAUGUAGUAACAGGAAAAGAGCAAGGAUUUAAGAAAAUAAAGGGGAAGGGACAUGCUGGGGGAUAACAGUUCAAUUAUAACUUCUAUAAUCAAGAGAUGAAAUUAAAUAAAUAAUAAUUAAACAAGAAAGUAACCUGUACAUAUGUAUGUGCAGUAACCGAAAUUAACAAAUUCUAAACAUAUAGCAGGAAGGGGACAUGCUGGGGAUGUAGCAGUUCAAUUAUCUAAUUAUCAACAACAAGGAAGUGGAAAUAGUAUAACAAACACCAAUAUGAAAAAGACCCGUAAAACAAACGUUGCACGGCACCACCUAUCGUGCUCUUACUCUCGUCCUCACCAAGAUAAUCCAUCACAGUGUACGGUAUCACCCAUCGUACUUUAUCACUCAUCCUCAUCCAAUCAAUAGUAUGGAGUAGCUCAAUGAUUACAAGCAUCUACAGUGGAUGGCGCGCCACACGCUCCCGUAUUCUCUAUGCACAAUGUCACCAGCAUCUCAGGCCAAAAACAAUAGGUGGACGGCGCAAUCGUAUGGAGUAGCUCAAUGAUUACACGCAUUUACAGUGGACGGCGCGCCACACGCUCCUGUAUUCUCUGCGCACAAUGUCACCGGCAUCUCAGGGCAGUAACAAUAGGUGGAAGGCGUGCCACACGAUCCCAUAAUAAAUGUCACCGGCAUCUCAUGCCAAAAACAAUAUAUGGACGGCGUGCCACACGAUACCAUAAUAAAUAUCUCGUGGUCGGCGUGCCACACGAUCCCAAUAUGUAAUGCAAUUAAAUAAUUCAAACAAUCUCUUCACAGAAGAUCCCGAUAGGGAAGCACAUCAAUAUAACAGUCUAACCCGGCAAGGGUACAACUAACAAUCCAAAAUUUCCCGGUAAGGGGAGAACAACUCCAGAAUAAGUCCCGGCAAGGGAAAACGAUUCAACAACAAAUCCCCGCAAGGGAAAACACCAUAAUUCCUUCCUUAACUCAUUUGCUUCUCAACUAUCAUUUCACAGUUNNNNNNNNNNNNNNNNNNNNNNNNNNNNNNNNNNNNNNNNNNNNNNNNNNNNNNNNNNNNNNNNNNNNNNNNNNNNNNNNNNNNNNNNNNNNNNNNNNNNNNNNNNNNNNNNNNNNNNNNNNNNNNNNNNNNNNNNNNNNNNNNNNNNNNNNNNNNNNNNNNNNNNNNNNNNNNNNNNNNNNUUAACCGUCACCAUACCUAUACACCGACUCCACAUAGCACAUAGAAAAUAUUAACCUAAUCAUAUUCCUUCAAGCCAAAGUUAGAUCUAACACUUACCUUGAAAGCUUCCAACUCAACUCACCCCUCUAGAAUAGCUUUACCCCUCGAAUUCGCUUCAAAGCCGAUAGAAUCUAACCACAAUUUACUCAAAUGUAUCAACGAAUGCUAUUUAAAUCAAUUGAAUGCAUAUGAAUGAAAUUCCCAAAGUUUUAUCCAAAAAUUCCCAAAACUCCCCUGGGCCCAUGUGGUCAAAACCCGAGGUUCAGACCAAAACCGGGUUACCCAUUCCCCACGAGUUCAUAUAUGCAAUUUGUUUUUAAAUCGGACCCCAAAUUGAGGUCCAAAUCCCAAUUUUAUGAAAACCUAGGUUAUACCCCAAAUCCCCCAUUUUAACCAUGAAAGCUCAGAUUUAAGCAUGAAAUCAUGUUAGAAGAUGAUAAAGAUUGAAGAAAACUAGUAAAAAUUGACUUACGUUUGGUUUGGGGACGAAAGAGUUCGAGAGGAAUCGCCUAUGGUGGUUUUGGGUUUUGAAAGAUAUGAAAAGUGAGGUUUAAAUUCGUUUAAGAAUCACUUGCAGGGGUGCAGAUGUCGCAAAUGCGAUAUUGAUUUCGCAUUUGCGAACUAGGUUAAAAUGAAAGGGACCUUGCAAUUGCGAGUAAAUAGUUCACAACUGCGAACUGAGCAAGGAAAGGGGGAAACUCGCAUUUGCGAGAAAAGGUUCGCAAAUGCGAACAUUUGCCCUCGGGGCUCCAACGCAAACAUGCACCCAAUCUCUAAAACACCCCAUGGACUUACUCGUGCGAUCAAAUCGCCAAAAACAUCUAAAUCAAAGAAUCAACCUCCAAAACUCAUGAUUUUCAGUUCAAGUUCAACACUUUCAAACUUUUCCACUUUUAGUCCGAAACAUGUCAAACAACGUCCGUUUUCAACCAAACUUUACAGAUAGCGCUUAACGCCUAUUUAAAUCUUGUACCGGGCGUCAGAACCAAAAUACGAGCCCAAUACCAUCACUUUUGAUCAAAUUUUCAUUUCUAUUUUACCUUAAGCAUUUUCAAAAACAAUUUCACGGAAAAGCUCUGUACUCGGGCCUGGGACCUCGGAUUUCGAGGCCUUUCAAGGCCUCGCAACUAAAUAAGAGGUUUUCAAGGCCUCAGAAGCGCAAGGAAAGGGAGAAUUAUAGUGAUGACCCUUUGGGUCGUCACAAAUUUUCUAGCUCUCAAUGCCUUUUCCCCUCGAAUCGGCCUCUACUCGCAUCGAGUCUAUUCAGAAUCAAAAUCACGGUGUCAAAAUAUGCCAAGGGAACGAAGCCCAAGCAAAAAUAAUCACUAUACGACACAAAUCGUGAAAUUACCCAAACCCGAUCCUUGGGCCCAUAUCUCAAAUUCGAUAAAACAUCAAUAGGUUCCUUAUCUCCCCAUGAGUUCAUAGUUACAUAUGAAAAGUUCUGAAAUCCGACCUCAAAUGGUCCUUUAAAUCCUCAAGUCUAGGUCUCUAAUACCAAGCUGUAGUUUCCCAAAUUUUAACCCCUGAAUCCCAUUAAUUAUAGCUCUAAUUUGUGAAAUAAUAGAUAGGAACAAAGUUUUAGGUCUAAAUUCCUUACCUCACUGAAGUUCCCUUGAAAUGCCUCUUCAAAAUCAUCCAAAAAGCUCCAAAGUCAAGUAAAAAAUGGUGAAAUAGCUCAAAAAUUGUGAAGGACACAAUUUAUAGUUCCUGGCCCAGGUAUUUUCGCAUCUUCAGGCAAUAUUCCACUUAUGCGGUACCGCAUUUGCGGUCAACCAAGCGCUUAUGUGGUUUUUCACUUACUUCCCAUUAUCCAAAUUUGUGAUCUCGUGCCCGCAUCUGCGAUAUUGCAUAUGCGGUCCUCCUAAUUGCUUUUGCGGUUUCCUACCUACUAUUCAGCUUCCGCUUCUGUGACCCUUUUUCCCGAAUAUGCGGCGUCUCACCUGCGGUCGCCAAUCCGUAGGUGCUGAAAUACCAGAAGCAGCAAAAAUUUGCAUCUUCACAAAGUCUCAAACUCCUUCGUCAAUCAUCCAAAAUCACCCCAAGCCCCCCCAGAACCUCAACCAAAAGCACUAAUAUAUCCCAUAGCCUUAUUCAAAUGUAUACCAAUUCUUCAAAACACCUCAAACAACAUCAAAUCAACCAAAACACAUCGGAUUCAAGCCUAAGUUUCCAAAAUCUUCAGAAUUCUGCUUUUGAUAAAAAAAAACCCAACCAAAUCACGUUCGAAUGACCUGAAAUUUUCCACACACAUCCCAAAUGGUACAAUAGAACUACUACAAAUUUCGAAAUUCUAUUCCGACCCCUAUAUCAAAAUCUCACAUACCAACCGAAAAUCGCAAAAAUAUCAACUUUGCCAAUUCAAGCCUAAAUCUACUUCGAACGUCCAAAACUCAUUCUGAUCACUCUCUUGAGUCCCAAAUCACCUCCCAAAGCUAACCGAACCAUUCGAACUCACAUCCGAGCCCUCUAACACACAAGUCAACAUCCGGUUGACUUUUCCAACCUAAGCUUCCCCAAAAGAGAUAAAUGUCUCAAACCGUACCAAAUUCUAUCUGAACCCGAGCCAACCAACCCGAUCAUACAUAAAACUGAUAAACAAUGCAAUAAGAAGUAGAAAUAGGGGAAAUGGAAUAAAAUGACUGGUCGGGUCAUCACAUCCUCCCCAACUUAAACAAAUGUUCGUCCUCGAACAAAUCAAGAAACAUACUUGAAGCCUCAAACAGUUGAGGAUAUCUGCUCUGCAUCUCUCACUCGGUCUCCCAGGUAGCCUCCUUUACGGGCUGACCUCUCCACUGCACCUUCACUGAAGCUAUAUCCUUUGAUCUCAACUUUCGAACCUGACGACCCAAAAUAGCUAUUGGCUACACAUAACAGGUCAAAUCAUCAUCCAAUUGAACCAUGCUAAAAUCUAGAACAUGAAAUGGAUCCUCAAUAUACUUCUGGAUCAUAGAAACAUGAAAUACCGGAUGCACACUCGGCAAGCUGGUUGGCAAUGCAAGCUCAUAAGCCACUUCCCCAAUCCUUAGAAACACCUCAAAUGGCCUAACGAACCACAGACUCAAUUUUAAUUUUCUUCCUAAAUCUCAUAACAACCUUCAUGGGCGAAACCUUCAACAGAACCUUCUCGUUCACCAUGUAGGACACAUCUCGAACCUUCUUAUCAGCAUAACUCUUUUGUCUCGACUGUGCUAUAUGAAGCCUCUCCUAAAUCACCUUCACCUUGUCUAUAGCAUCAUGCACCAAGUAUGUACCUAAUAGCCUAGCCUCACCAGGCUCGAACCAACCAACUAGAGAUCUACAUUGCCUCCCAUACAAAUUCUAAUAUAGAGCCAUCUGAAUACUCGACCGGUAGUUAUUGUUAUAAGCAAACGCUGCAAGCGGUAGAAACUGAUCCCAUGACCCUUCGAAAUCAAUGACAUAAGCACGCAACAUGUCCUCCGAUAUCUGAAUAGUGCGCUCGGAUUGCCCGUCCGUCUAAGGGUGAAAAGUUGUGGUCAACUCAAUCUGAGUGCUAAACUCUCGCUGCACUGACCUCCAAAACUGCAAAGUAAACUGAGUGCCCCUAUCUAAAAUGAUAGAAACUAGGACACCAUACAAACAAUCUCCAAAAUAUAGAUUUCUGCCAACCGCUCUGAAGAAUAGGCCAUAUACACAGGAAUGAAGUGCCGGGACUUGGUCAUCCGAUCCACAAUCACCCAAAUAUCAACAAACUUCCUCAAAGUCCGCGGAAGUCCAACUACAAAGUCCAUAAUGAUCCUCUCCCACUUCCACUCUGGAAUAUCCAUCUGCUGAAGCAAGCUACCCGGUCUCUGAUGCUCAUAUUUCAUCUGCUUACAAUUGAGACACCGAGCUACAAAUCCCAUAAUGUCUUUCUUCAUUCUCCUCCACCAAUAAUGUUGCCUUAAAUCCUGAUACAUCUUCACAGCACACGGUUGAAUGGAAUAUUGCGAGCUAUGGCCCUCCUCUAGAACAAACUCCCGAAGCCCAUCCAUAUAGGGCAAACAAAUCCGGCCUGCAUCCUCAAUACCCCAUCAUCGCCAAUGGUCACAUCUCCAGUAUCAUCAUAUUGAAUGUUAUCCUUAAGGACAAGCAAAUAAGGAUCAUCAUAUUAGCGCUCUAUAAUGCGAUCAUAUAAAGAAGAUCAAGAAAUCACAGAAGCCAAUAGCUAACUGGGCUGCGAAAUAUCCAACCUCACGAACCGAUUGACCAAGGUUUUAAAAUAAAUUGCAGGAGGUCUCUCCCUACUUGGAAUAUAUGCCAAACUCCCCAUACUCACCGCCUUUUGGCUCAAAGCAUCGGUCACCACAUUAGCCUUCCCCGAAUGGUACAAUAUAGUGAUAUCAUAAUCCUUAAGCAACUUCAACCACCUCUGCUGCCUCAAAUUGAGAUCCUUCUAUUUGAAAAAUGCCGGAGGCUACGAUGAUUAGUAAACACCUCACAAGACACACGAUAUAAGUACUGCCUCCAAAUCAUUAACGCAUGAACUAUGGCAGGCAGCUCCAAAUCAUGAGCGCGAUAGUUUUUCUCAUAGGGCUUCAACUGACGAGAAGCAUAAGCAAUAACUCUAUCCUCCUACAUCAAUACAUAACUAAUACCAAAUCUUGAAGCAUCACAAUACACGGUAUAUGAACCUGAAGCUAAUGGUAAAACCAAAACUAGAGGUAUGGACAAAGUUGUCUUGAGCUUCUGAAAGCUCUCCUCUCACUCGCUCGACCAUACAUAUGAAGCACCCUUCUGAGUCAACUUGGUUGAUGGCGAUGCGAUAGAUGAGAAUCAUUGAACAAACCGGCGAUAAUAGCCCAUCAAAUCAAGAAAAAUGUGAAUCUCCAUGGCUGAGGACGGUUUGGGCCAACUCUAAACCGCCUCUAUAUUCUUCGAGUUAACCUUAAUACCCUCGUUGGACACCACGUGCCCCAAGAAAGCCACUGAACCGAGCCAAAACGCACACUUGGAGAAUUUUGCAUAAAGCUUCUCCUCCCUAUAUCUUUGCAACUCUCAAAUGCUCUGCGUGCUCCUCCUGAUUAUGCAAAUACACCAGAAUAUCAUCAAUGAAGACUAAGACAAAUGAGUUGAGAUACGACCGAAAUAUGAUGUUCAUCAAAUACAUGAACGCUGCUGGGGCAUUGGUCAACCCGGAAGACAUCACCGAGAACUCAUAAUGACCAUAUGGGGUCUUGAAAGUUGUCCUAUGAAUAUACGAGUCCCUGAUCUUCAACAGGUGAUAAUCUGAAUAGAGAUAAAUCUUGGAGAACACUGUCACUCCCUGAAGCUGGACGAAUAAAUCAUCAAUGUGAGGCAAAGGAUACUUGUUCUUAACUGUUAGUUUUUUCAGUUGCUUAUAGUCAAUUCACAUUCUCAUAGUGCCAUCCUUAUUCUUUACAAAUAGAACUAGCACACCACAAGGUGACACAGUAGGCCGAAUGAACCCCUUUUCAAGGAGUUCCUGAAGUUGCUCCUUUAACUCUUUCAACUCUGUUGGUGGCAUGCGAUACAUUGAAAUAGAAAUGGAUUAAGUGCCUGCACUAGGUCAAUACCAAAAUCAAUAUCCAUGUCCGGUGGCAUACGCGGUAGGUCUGCAGGAAACACAUCUGGAAAAUCUCUCACAAUUGGAACAGAAUCAAUAUUUGGAGUCUCAGCACCGACCUCUCUCACAAAGGCUAGAUAUGAAAGACAACCCUUCCCAACUAUAUGAUGGGUCUUCAAGAAUGAAAUCACUCUGCUAGGAAUAUAACCAGUCACACCUCGCAACUCAAUCCGUGGCACACUCAAUAUAGCCAAUGUGACUGUCUUGGCAUGACAAUUCAGAAUAGCAUGACACGAAGAUAGCCAAUCCAUGCCCAAAAUAACAUCGAAAUCCACCAUACACAAUAAUAAAAGAUCCACAAGGGUCUCCAGACCGCCAAUAGUCACCACACAUGACUGGUACACAUGGUCUAUAACAACAGUAUCGCCUACUGAGAUAGAUACAUGAAUAAGAGAAACCAGAGACUCACGGGGCGUGCAAAAAUAACGAGCAAAGUAUGAUGACACAUAAGAAAAGGUGGAACCAGGAUCAAAUAAUGUAGAGGAAUCUCUAUGGCAAACUGUAACAAUAACUAUAAUGAUAGUAUCGGAAGCAAUAACAUCGGCUCUAGAUAGAAGUGCAGAGAAAUGGACCCGAGCGCCACCUGAUUAGCCUCCCCUCUAGGGCGACCCCUAGCUGCCUUACCUCCGCCCCUAGAUGGCUGGAUGAGUGGUGAUGAAGCAAUUGGUAUUGAAGUCGAUGGCUGACCCCUCUACUGAGAUGAACUCGCAAGACGAUGAGGGCACUGCCUCCACAUAUAACCCAUCUCUCCAUACUCAUAACAAUUCCCAGGUGUCGGAGAAGGGGACUGAAGGGAACCCCUCUCAUCGGAGUAACUAGCAUAUGCACCUGGCAUAGAAGAGCCUUGAACUGAUGGAGCACAGGACGAACUCUGAGCUAGAAGGGCACAAGUGAUGACUGGUUCUGCUGAGAAUCAUGAUAACCAUGACUUGAUAACGCCCCAUGAUAACCUGGGCGAGCUGGCUAAGCCUGCCUAAAUGGGCAGCCUCUGUUAUGCUGAAACUGACCUCUUGAAGGAGCACCACUGUAACUACCAGAUCCUCGAGGCCUCUUGGCCUCCCUAUCAUCUCGGUCAUAGUGAUGAACAAACUUAAUCUCACAGGCAAUAUCCAUAACCUCCUCGAAAGUAGCACGAGCCACUCUCUCCCUAGUCAUAAGAAUAUGAAGCUAAUAAGUGAGACCAUCAACAAACGUCUUAAUCCUCUCUCUAUAUGUCGAAACUAAUAAAAUGGCAUCACGAGCUAACUUAGAGAACCUCAACUCAUACUACGACACGGUAAUCUCUCCCUGAAGCAACUACUCAAACUACCUAUGCAGCUUCUCUCUACGAGACUGCGAUACAUACUUCUCCAAAAAGAGAACAGAAAAUUGCUACCAGGUAAGGGGUGCUGCACCAAGAGGCGUACGCCUCUCAAAAUCCUCCCACCAAGUGAAGGCUGCUCCAGAAAACUAAUAGGUAGUGAAAGUGACCCCGCUAGUCUCUAGAAUACCCGUUGUACGAAGCAUCCUCUAACACUUGUCCAAGAAACCCUAGGCAUCCUCUCCCUCUGUACCACUGAAGGUCGGAGGCUGAAGUCUACCAAACCUCUCCAACCUAUGUUGCUCAUCCUCUGGCAUGGCAGGAACUACAUAAUCCUGAGUAACUGCAACCGGCUAGGCUAGAUGUGCCCCCGACGUCUGAAAUUGUCGGCACGACUUGCUCAGAUGUGCAAGCUAAUAGGAUUUGAGAAGUAGUUGCAACUGUAGCGGCUGAAACUGCCUGAGCUAUGCCAGUGCAAAUUGAUAGGAUCUAAGCCGAGGACUCCUAAAGACCCGGAAUCACAAUAGGCACAACUGGUGCCUGAGCUGGUGCUACUGGAGCGUCUAUAACUAGGACCUGAUCCUGAACUAGAGCUAGUGGUAAAUCUAUAGGUGCUGCCUUAGCUACUGUGGGGGCCAAAUCUCUGCCCCUACCGCAACCACGACUGCGUCCUCGGCCUCUAGUGGCCACAGCUCGUGGUACUAGUAGUCGUCCAUCCUGACCUGUGGCACGUGUCCUCACCAUCUGUGAGAGAAUAGAAUAACAGAAGUUUAGUACUCAGAUCAACAAAUUCGCACGAUAAGAAUUUCAAGAAUACGAAGUUUUUCCUAAAGGUUCUGCAGCCUCUCGAGGAUAAAUACAUACGUCCCCGUACUGAUCCGCCAGACUCUACUAAACGAACUUAUGACUUAUGAGGCCUAUGUAACCUAGAUUCUGAUACCAACUUGUCACGACCCUAAACCCAGAACCGGUCGUGAUGGUUCCUCUAGUGAAAACAAGGCCACUAACUCUUCUUGUUUCAGUAAUUACCAGUUAAACAGUAAGAAACAGUCUAAAGAAUGAUGAAAUAAUCCAAAGUUUAAGCAGAAAAUAGCAUAAUAUGCGGAAUACAACCCAACACAGCCCGAUACCGGAGUGUCACUAGUCAUAAGCAUCUAAACAAUCUGGAAUACUCAAGGAAGUCUAUAGAGUUUAAUACAGAAACAAAGAACAUAAAGAAAUAAGAUAGAUAAGAAGCUCUGGGCUACCAACGCUAACAGCUACUUAGAGACUCCUCAGAUUUUCCUGAGCUGGAAAGGGAUCAACACUCGGGAGCAGACCAGAUACGUCUGAAUCUACACACGUGUGUAGGGAGUAAAGUGAAUACUCCAACUCUUGUGAGUAAUAAUCAUAAAUAAAGACUGAAAUCAAAAAACCACGUAAAGCACAUUACCCGCUGUAGUGAAGUAGUAAAACAAGUAAAAACAAUAACUUAGUAAAAAUAUGAGAAAAAGUCAUUUUAUUCAACUUAAACUUCAUAAAAAGCCUUUCAAGCAAUUAAAUACAUAAAAGUUUUCCCCUCGGGAACAAUAUCAAAAAAUCCGCCGCUCGGGCAAUAUUUCAAAACAAUACCAGCCCCUCGAGCUACAUCUCACAUCACAUGGGUACCCGCGUUCACUGGGGGUGUGCAGACUCCUGGAGGGGACCCUUACGGCCCAAGCGUAAUAAAAAGCCAUCUCGCGGCUGAGUAUAAAACAAUAAAAUAUAUCAUGUCUGAGUUCAAGUAUAAAGUCAAAAUAGUGAGAAAAAGUAUCAACAAAAAUCCUCGAAGGGGUUCAACAGUUGGCAUGAGACCCAAAAUAUGGCAUUCAACCCAAAUAAUAAUGAUAGAAAAUAGAUUUCAAUCAAAUACGCGGUAAAAUAGUCAUUCGGGACAGACUAAGUCACAAUCCCCAACAGUACAUGACCCCACACUCGUCGUCAAGCAUGUAUCAAUAUAGCAUAACAAUGUGCAAAUCUAGGGUUUCAUACCCUCAGAACAUAAUUUAAAAUCAUUACUCACCUCAAACCGGUCAAAUAUCUAGCUUGUGAUGCCUUUUCCCCUCGAAUCAACCUCCACUUGCGUCAAAUCUAUUCAAAAUCAGAAUAGCAACAUCAAAUAUACUAAGGGAACGAAGCCCAAGCAAAAAUAAUCAAUAUACCACAUAAAUCCCGAAAUUACCAAAACCCGACUCCCGGGACCACGUGUCAAAAUUCGAUAAAAUUCACAUCAAUAGGUUCCUUAUCUUCCAUGAGUUCAUACAUAUCAAAAGUUCUGAAAUCUAACCUUAAAUGGUCCUUUAAAUCCUCAAGUAUAGGUCUCCAAUACCAAGCCCUAGUUUCUCCAAUUUAACCCUUAAAUUACAUUCAUUAUAGCUCUAAUAUGUGAAAUAUUAGUAUAGGAACGAGUUUUAGGUCUAAAUUCCUUACCUCAGUGAAGUUCCCUUGAAAUACCUUUUCAAAAUCAUCCAAAAAGCUCCAAAGCGAGUAAAAAAUGGUGAAAUAGCUCAAAAAUUUGAAGGACAAAAUUUAUACUUUCUGGCCCAGGUAUUUUUGCAUUUGCGGCCAAUAUUCCGCUUCUGUGGUACCGCAUUUGCGGUCAACCAACCGCUUCUAUGAUAUUUCACUUACUUCUUAUUAUUCACAUCUACGGCCCCGUACCCUUAUCUGCGACAUUGCAUAUGCGGUCCUCCUAACUACUUCUAUGGUUUCUUACCUACAUUCAACUUCCGCUUCAGUGACCCUUUUUCCCGCAUAUACGGCGUCGCGCUUGCGGUCCUAAUCCGCAGGUGCAAAAAUACCAGAAGCAGCAAAACUCUGCAACUUAACAAAGUCUCAAACUCCUCCAUCAACCAUCCAAAAUCAUCCCGAGGCCCCCACGACCUCAACCAAAAGCACAAACAUAUCCUAUAACCUUAUUCAAACUUGUACCAAUUCUUCAAAACACAUCAAACAACAUGAAAUCAACAAAAACACAUCAGAUUCAAGCCUAAGUUUUCAAAAUCUUCUGAAUUCCGCUUUUGAUUAAAAAUCCAACCAAAUAACAUCUGAAUGACCUAAAUUUUUGCAUACACAUCUUAAAUGACAUAACGGAACUACUGCAACUCUCGAAAUUCCAUUCCAACCCCUAUAUCAAAAUCUCUCCUACCAACUGAAAAUAACAAAAAUAUCAACUUCGUCAAUUCAAGCCUAAAUAUACUCUGAACCUCCAAAACCCAUUCCAAUCAUGCUCCGAAGUCCCAAAUAACCUCCUGAAACUAGCGAAACUAUCAGAACUCACAUCCGAGCCCUCUAACACACAAGUCAACAUCCGGUGGAUUUUUCCAACCUAAGCUUCCUCAAAAGAGACUAAGUGUCUCAAACUAUACCAAAACCUUUAUGCACCCGAGCCAACCAACCUGAUCAAAUAUAGAAAUGAUAUACAAAGCAAUAAGAAGCAAGAAUGGGAGAGACGGAGCGGUAACUCAUGAGACGACUGGCCGGAUUAUCACAAGAUGGGGGAGUAAAUCUUUAUCCACUUCAUAGGUGAUUAGGUAAUAUCUCGUUACCUAAUAAUUAACCAAUUACCUGCAUAAUUAAGAAUUAUCUUAAAUUACUUAAAAUUUUACUUAUUUAUGAUAUACUUUAUUCAUCAUACGAACAUAAUCAUGUGGUUCCUUGUAUGGUACCAGUCUAUAAAUAUCGGGUAUUAUCACUCAGCAUGUAGUUUAUCCCUAAUUGGCAACCGUCAACAAAACUCAUUUUCUUUAAUUCAUGUACCUUUUUAUCCUUCAUGAAACUUACUUAUUUCUUAUUAUAAAUAGCAUAAGUAUGCUAACCUCAAUAUAAUGUCAUCCUAAGUCUACGUCAAUUAACUAAAGACAAAACCUUAACGUACGAAAACGUGAGAUGUUACAGGUGGACUGAGGGGGGAUCGAGUUGCACGCCACAACAAGGGUAAUAAGGAUGAAUAUUCAUAUUGUUACUUAUAAUAUGGUGGGAUCGGGAUGCACGCCGCAUCAUUUUGAUUUUUGUGUGUUCUUCCUCUAUUGUAAUGUUAUUCUGUAGCAUUGUAACUCUCUUAAGGAUUGGUUAUAGCUGAGUAAUUGCAAUAUUGAACUCCGUAUUUAUUUUUUCCGCAAGUUACUAUUCCAUUUCAUUCUGUACUUCCUUUUUAUUUAUUAUAUAUUGUAUGCAGGGUAUACAUUAUAAAUGCCCCACCGUAGCCUCGGCAUUACCUCAUCGAGAUUAGGCUAGACACUUAUCAGUACAUGGGGUUAGUUUACUGAUACUUCACUCUGUACUAUCUGUGCAGAUUUUGUAGCUCGUUGUGGCUGAUCGAGAGGUCAGUUGCAGAUACUUCAUAUGGGAGACCCAAGGUAGUUUUGCUGGUGUUCGCAUGCCCUGGCGUCCCCUCCUAUGUUUAUAUUUUCCUGUUUUCUUUCUUUUGAGGCAGAUGUAAUUUUCUUCAUACCAGUAUUUGUAGUAAUUCAUAGUGUGUUUGUGAAUUGUGACACCAAUUUUUGGGUAGUAAACUUUCGGUUCAAUUUAUAGUAUAUAUAUAACCGGUUUAUUAUGUACUUCCGCAUUUAUUCCUAUUUAGCUUUGUAAAUUUUAACUAUAAAAAUGUAAAGGAAAAAUGUGAGUAUAACUCUAACAUUGCCUUGCCUAGCAAGUGUGAUGUUAGGUGCCAUUACGGUCUUGAUGAUGGAAAAUCCGGAUCAUGGCAAUUUUUGUAUCUGAUAAGAUUGUACAUAAUAACCGGUUUAUUAUGUACUUCCGCAUUUAUUCCUAUUGAUCUACCUUUGUAAAUUUUAACUAUAAAACUGUAAAGGAAAAAUGUGAGUAUAACUCUAACGUUGCCUUGCCUAGCAAGUGUGAUGUUAGGCGCCAUUACGGUCUUGAUGAUGGAAAAUCCGGAUCAUGGCAAUUUUUGUAUUUGAUAAGAUUGUAAUAAGUAAGAACGAGAUAUUUGUAGGAAAAAGGUCACUUCACUGAGGGCCUUUUCAAGCUAAAUUUAAUGGUCGUUGAGAAUAAUAAAAUUUUAGCUUCAUCUUACUUGCUUGAGUCAAAUGAUUUAUGGCAUAUACGUUUGGGUCGCAUCAAUUAUAAAACCUUCCAAAAAAUGGUUAACUUGAAAGUAUUGUCUAAGUUUGAAUGCGAGAAAUCAAAAUGCCAAAUAUGUGUGAAAUAUAAGUAUGUUAAACAUCCUUAUAAGUCAAUUGAAAGGAAUUCAAAUCCUAUAGACUUAAUUCACACAGAUAUUUGCGACAUGAAGUCAAUACCAUCUCGUGGUGGAAAGAAGUAUUUCAUAAUUUUUAUUGACAAUGGUACUCGAUAUUGCUAUAUUUACUUACUUAAUAGUAAAGAACAAGCAAUAGACGCAUUCGGGCAAUAUAAAAAUGAAGUUGAAAUACAACAUAACAAGAAAAUCAAAAUAAUAAGAAGUGAUAAGGUCAUUAAAUAUGAAUCUCCUUUUGAAGAAAUAUGUUUAGAAUAUGAAAUUAUUUACCAAACAAUGGCCCCUUACAUGCUCCAAUUCAAUGGAAUUGCGAAAAGAAAGAAUCGUUCACUAAAGGAGAUGAUGAACGCAUUGUCGAUAAGUUCUGGUUUGCCACAGAACUUGUGGGGGGCAAGUCGUUCUUACAGGUAAACGGAUACCAAAUCGAGUACCCCAUAGCAAAAUAUAAUCCAUUUCAUAUGAAAAAUAGAAAGGAAAGAAGCCUAACUUGAAUUAUUUUAGUGGGGGUGUUUGGCAAAAGUGUAAGUUCUUAAACCUCAAAAGGGAAAAAAUAGGAAUGAAAACAAUUAAUUAUGUUUUCAUAAGAUAUGCGACCAAUAGUAAAGCAUAUCGAUUUCUGGUUCAUAAAUCAUAAAAUCCUGACAUUCAUAAUAAUACAGUUAUAGAAUCAUAUAAUGUUGAGUUCUUCGAAAAUAUAUAUCCUUAUAAAAAGGAAUGUGAGUCAAUUGAAGAAAGAUCUAAACGACCCCGGGAAGAAAAAAAAUAAAUUAUAUUCAAUCAGGACGAUCCAAGAUGUACUAUAUGUCAAAGAACAUCUACUUCAUUUGGACCAGAUUUUGUGACUUUCUUAUUGGAAAAUAAGCUUCGAACAUUUAAAGGAGCUAUCUAUUCUUCGGAAUCGUUAUUUUGGAAAAAACCAGUCAAUAGUGAAAUAGAAUCCAUAUUGAACAACCAUACAUGGUUGAUCUUCCUCCUGGAAACAAAAUUUUGGGUUAUAAAUGGAUUUUUAAAAGGAAAAUGAAAGAUGAUGGCACUAUUGAUAAAUAUAAGGCGAUACUUGUAGUCAAAUAGUAUAGACAACUGAAAAGUCUUGACGAUUUUGAUACAUACUCCCCAGUUACAAGAAUUACAUCCAUACGAAUGUUAGUAGCAUUAACUGCAGUUUAUGGUCUUGAAAUUCAUCAAAUGGACGUUAAAACAACCUCUUUGAAUAGAGUUUUGAGGAAGAAAUCUACAUGGAAUAACCUGAAGGGUUUGUGAUUUCAGGUAAAUAAAAUAAGGAACAUAGACUUGUUAAGUCCCCUUACAGACUAAAACAAGCACCGAAAUAAUGGCAAGCGAAAUUUGACCAAACAAUGUUGUCAAAUGGUGUUAAUAUAAAUGAAUGUGAUAAUGUGUAUAUUAAAAAAUUUCCUAAUCAGAUAGUCAUUGUUUGCUUAUAUGUGGAUGAUAUACUAAUAAUGAGCAAUAACAGUGCCAACAUAAAUGCGACUAAGUGUAUGCUAACUAACAAGUUUGAUAUGAAGGACUUGGAUGUUGAUGAUUUAAUUAUGGGGAUUAAGAUCCAUAUGACUCCUCAAGGUCUAGCAUUGUCACUAUCUCCUUAUAUUAAGACAGUACUUGAAAAAUUUAAGCACUUAGGGUUUAAAGUUGUAAAGACUCCAAUUGACAUGAAUCUUGCAUUAGAAAAGAAAAAAGGCCAAAGCAUAUUACAAUUGGAUUAUGCUCGUGUUUUGGGAUACUUAAUAUAUAUCAUGAAUUGUACACGUCCAGAUAUAGCUUGUGAUAUAAGUAAACUGAGUCGGUACACGAUCAAUCCAGGUCAAUCUCAUUGGAUGGCAAUGAAACGAGUUUUGGGAUAUUAAAACAUGCCCAAGACUUUACUUUGCACUACAAUAAAUAUCCGGUGAAGAAGCUGAAUGGCUUUGAAUUUUUUUGGAAAACAUUCCAUUUUGGCUCAAACCAUUGGGAGCAUUAUGUAUAACGGUAAAUCUCGUCAUAUACGACGGAGACAUAAAACCGUUAGGCAACUACUCUCUAGAGGAAUUAUCACGAUUGACUAUGUAAAGUCAAGUGAUAAUAUAUCGGAUAAACUUACAAAAGGCUUAACUAGAGAGGUAGUUGAGAAAUCAUUGAGGAGAAUGGGACUAUGGCUGAGAACAAGUCAUUGUGGCGGUAACUUUAUAUAGAAGACCGGAGAUCCCAAGAUAUAGGUUGAAGGAGAUCAAACAAAGUCAUUGAUAACAGUUUAACAUUGUCAACAAAAGUUUUGGUCCAUCUCGUGAUGAGACAAUUCUCAGUACCAAGGAUAAAGCAUUAAGGCUUUUUAAUGAUUUUUGAAUUUGAUAUGAGGUAUAUCAAAUAAUGUAUCUACAGGAUAACACGUUAGGAAUCACCUAUAUAAGUGUGAAGUGUUAGCCGCUUCAAGGAGAAUUCUGUAAGGCAAGUUCUCUACGCACGUAUGAAAUCAGAUGGUGUUUAUGACUAAAACGAACACAACAAUGAGAACCAAAGACGGUUAAGGAUUAAUUGUGUGACUUAUGGUUCUCUAAGUAUAUAUCAAAGUUUGACAGUUCAAAGAUAUCAAAUCUACUAAUUGGCUGAGUAUAUGCGAUAUAAGUUCACUACAAAAAGUUCAAACGAAAGCCUACUUAUCUAGAUGCAAUUAAUCCUUAUUUGUGAAUUACGUAGUUUUUCAUGCAUAUUUCCGUGAUAUAGCCAUUAUCCAUUCAUGUGGGGAAUUGCUGAGUUUUUUACGCUAAAACAAGCUUAAGAGAGGGUGAAUAGGAAAUGGAAGAAAAAUAAAUUUUUUUAUUUUCCUCCUUGAGAAAGGGACAUUGUCCCAUAUUGAAAGAGGAAAAGGCUUCUGAUGGAUAUAUAUACAAUUGCUCUUCUUUUAGAUCUUAAAGAGUUAAGAGGAAGACUCGCGCCGUCGUUGCUCGCUCAACUUCGGCUUUGGCUUCGGAUUUAGUCAAAUAAUUGAUUGAUUAAUUUUUUGGACCAAAUUUAUUUGUGAAUAGCAAAUAUUAACAUAAUAUUAUUAAAUAUACGUGUUUGUAACAGACUAAUAAUCCAAAUUAUUCAUUUUAAUGAAUCUGCCCAUCCUUUUUUGUAACAAAAAAUGUUUCAUCUGCCCAUUUUAAUUUGUAGAAAUGACCAUUUACGUUAUGGCCGUUUUAUAUGAUUUACCUUUCUUUGUUUGAGCUCAACAAGUUGGGGUUAUAAAUAAGUUGUUCAUUCUCUCAGUACGAAUUUCUGAAUACUCCUCCUUUAUUCUAUAUUAUUUUAACUAUAAAGAAAGCAACAGUAAAUGUGAUUUGCUAUUGAUCAUUGUGUUAGCUGAAAUACCGGGGUUUGAAGUACCACUACACCAAUGUAUAAUUCAUUCUAUCCUGGAAGAAAAUAAUCCACAACCUUUGGUACUAGGAGGGGAUUAAGUUCCUUAAGGAAACACUGUGAAUUCAGUGGACUCUGAUUAAAUUCUAUUUAUGUUUUUCAUUUCUGUUUAUACGUUAUUUUAUGUUCUAUAGAAUUAUUUUACAAAUACACUAUACUAAUAAUAACUAUAUAAUCCUACAGCAUAUUGUAUGUCGCAAUGGUAUAUUAUUGGGUAACUGUGUUCUUUUUCGAUUUUCAGCUUGAAAAUUUCAAUCUCAAUCACCUCAAAUCAUCUCCAAAUGCGAUCAGAUUUUAGUAUAAACUUUCAGAAGGUGUUGUAAGCAAUAUUUAGUAGCACCGAAAUCACAAUUAAAUUUCAAAAAGAUGACUCGAACUAGAACAAAUGGCAACGAGAAAAUAUAAAAUUUGUAAGGAGAGAGAAUGUGUUUUGUGGCGAUGAAAAACAUUCAAUAGGUGUCUAUUUCAUUCAGUAAUAAAAAAUUAAACUACAUGCGCGUAGUAAAUUAAUUGAGUCAUAAUUUAUAGAUAUUGAGCAGACCUCUUUUAUUGUAUACGCAAAAUUAUCACAUAACUAAUAAAAAUUGCAACUCCUUGAAUAAUUAAAUUACUUUAGAAGUUCAUCAACAAACAUGAUUUUUGCUUUAUUUUUAGUAUUAACAUAAUCUUCUUUCUUUUAAAAAAUAAAAUAAAAUGAUCACGUGUAUUGAGCGUGACAUCGUAGUCCUAGUACAGAGUCUGCGCUAUAUAGCUAAAUCCGCACGCAAAGUUCCCUACAAUAAGAGGGAUAAAAGCAACAAAAGGCUAUUUUUUGGACAGUGCGAAAAGGAAGCUCUGCAACUUGAACAAAAGCGAGAAACGGUAGCGAAUCGAUUCAGCUUACUCUCACCCUGCUGUUUUACUCUGUUUUCAGACGGUACGUAUUAUUUUUUUUCUUCUUUUUCCGUUUUCUUUUUUUUUUUCUCAGUCUAGAAGUUCUUCACUUUUUUGCUUUGAUUUUUAGCUGCUCUCAACCAGAUAGUAGCGACGUUUGUCACAUAGGGUUAUGUAAAAGAAUGGUAAUAGCUGAUUAAAGUGAUGAGUUUGCUUAAAAAUGGAAGGAUCAUUGGCUGCAUUUACGCAUCAAUCGGCAACACUUAUUGUUAUCUGCUUUGAUUGUUAACAUAUAUGACUUGAUCUCAUAACGUGCAUGUAGCCGAUUUCGCUGAAGCUCAACCCUAGAAAUUGGCCCUACAUUAUCAUCUCUGGCAAAAUGUUACUGUACUUUAUUAAUUGUAAUAUUAAAAUAUACUUUAGGUGAUUUCUUGGUAUGUGUCAAAGCUUUGGUGGAUAUAGUUAUUCCGUAUUUGUCCUGGUGGGCGAUAGCAAUGACCAGGUGCAAUAGCCGUGGUGCGUGGAAGCUGGCCCACACACCAUCAUCAUCACAAAAAAUUUACUUUAACUUUUCCUUUUUUUUUUGUUUUUUCCUCUUGAGCUUUUAUAAUUUUAUACAUGUCAAGAUUUAGACAAGAAAGUUAUGUUGGUCUAUUCUUGAGAAUACAAAGUAGUGGAAAGGUUUACAUAAGGGAAAUGGACCAUCUGUUUGAAUUUUAUAAAUUGCCUAGAUACUGUUACAUCAUUCUUCUGACUUUAGUUGGCUGGAACAUACUUUUGACAUCUUACUAUGCCUUGGUCCACCCUUUCUCCCAUUUUUUAUUUCUAAACUUAAAAUUUUAGCUGAUGUUUUUGUGACUUUCAUAUACUAUAUAGGAGUUAGAAGUUUCUGGGGAGACAUACUCUGUACUGGGAGGAGAUGGGAUGCGAGAAGGAAGCAUCUGAUGAGUACUGCAAGCAAAACAGCCUCUUGCUUCAUGGAAAGAGGGUUUCUUCUUUCUUUAAAGUGAUGAUCGACAAAAGUUUCCACAAAAUUCUGGUAGAAUGUGAUUUUUUUCUUUGUGUGCUUACUUUCUUAACUUAGUUUAAAGUAUUCGUUCUAAAUUUACCAUUGGUUUUGAUAACCAUUUGCAAUUUCCAGUCAUUCUUGAAGUCAUAUGUCUGCUUUUUGAUGACAUCCUUUUGCUUAAUAUUUUGAAGACUAAUCUUUAUUUUUACUAUAGUUUUUUCUCAUCAAUGUAGUUAAAAUAUGUGAAAGACUAAAUGACUGAAAAAGCAUUUCCCAAUAUGAACUUUAGCAUACCCUUUAGGUUCAGGAUUGUACUCUAUACUAUUUUCCGCGGUAUCCCAAGAUGUCUUAGGAACUCAAUCCGUCAAUCGUCAAUCUUUCAGUGGAAGAAACAAGGUAUAACACCUAGCUAACUAGCAACAACAACAACAACUACCCAGUAUAUUCCCACCAGGUGGGGUCUGGGGAGGGUAAUAUNNNNNNNNNNNNNNNNNNNNNNNNNNNNNNNNNNNNNNNNNNNNNNNNNNNNNNNNNNNNNNNNNNNNNNNNNNNNNNNNNNNNNNNNNNNNNNNNNNNNNNNNNNNNNNNNNNNNNNNNNNNNNNNNNNNNNNNNNNNNNNNNNNNNNNNNNNNNNNNNNNNNNNNNNNNNNNNNNNNNNNNNNNNNNNNNNNNNNNNNNNNNNNNNNNNNNNNNNNNNNNNNNNNNNNNNNNNNNNNNNNNNNNNNNNNNNNNNNNNNNNNNNNNNNNNNNNNNNNNNNNNNNNNNNNNNNNNNNNNNNNNNNNNNNNNNNNNNNNNNNNNNNNNNNNNNNNNNNNNNNNNNNNNNNNNNNNNNNNNNNNNNNNNNNNNNNNNNNNNNNNNNNNNNNNNNNNNNNNNNNNNNNNNNNNNNNNNNNNNNNNNNNNNNNNNNNNNNNNNNNNNNNNNNNNNNNNNNNNNNNNNNNNNNNNNNNNNNNNNNNNNNNNNNNNNNNNNNNNNNNNNNNNNNNNNNNNNNNNNNNNNNNNNNNNNNNNNNNNNNNNNNNNNNNNNNNNNNNNNNNNNNNNNNNNNNNNNNNNNNNNNNNNNNNNNNNNNNNNNNNNNNNNNNNNNNNNNNNNNNNNNNNNNNNNNNNNNNNNNNNNNNNNNNNNNNNNNNNNNNNNNNNNNNNNNNNNNNNNNNNNNNNNNNNNNNNNNNNNNNNNNNNNNNNNNNNNNNNNNNNNNNNNNNNNNNNNNNNNNNNNNNNNNNNNNNNNNNNNNNNNNNNNNNNNNNNNNNNNNNNNNNNNNNNNNNNNNNNNNNNNNNNNNNNNNNNNNNNNNNNNNNNNNNNNNNNNNNNNNNNNNNNNNNNNNNNNNNNNNNNNNNNNNNNNNNNNNNNNNNNNNNNNNNNNNNNNNNNNNNNNNNNNNNNNNNNNNNNNNNNNNNNNNNNNNNNNNNNNNNNNNNNNNNNNNNNNNNNNNNNNNNNNNNNNNNNNNNNNNNNNNNNNNNNNNNNNNNNNNNNNNNNNNNNNNNNNNNNNNNNNNNNNNNNNNNNNNNNNNNNNNNNNNNNNNNNNNNNNNNNNNNNNNNNNNNNNNNNNNNNNNNNNNNNNNNNNNNNNNNNNNNNNNNNNNNNNNNNNNNNNNNNNNNNNNNNNNNNNNNNNNNNNNNNNCCUCGUCUUCGCAACCUUCAUUCUCUGAACAUGAGAGUUCUUCACGGGCCAGCACUCCGCCCUAUACAACAUCGCAGGUCUAACCUCGGCUCUGUAGAAUUUCCCCUUGAGUUUGUGUGGAAUUUUCUUGUCGCACAGGACCCCUGAAGCAAGCCUCCACUUUGACCCCUGAAGCAAGCCUCCACUUUGACCACCCCGCUCCUAUCCGAUGGGUGACGUCCCCGUCAAUCUGUCCGUCCCCCUGAAUCACAGACCCAAUAGCUAACUAGCAGGCAUCAAGUUAUUAAUGAAAAGAUCUUUUCUAAGUUUUAAAUUAGGUAAAUGACCUCAAGUUAUUUUUAAUUGGUGGAUGACCUCAAGUUUUUUUUUAUUCUUUUGUCUUUCCAUGUUUGGAUUAGGUUCAACUAAAUCAGCGAGUAGUCGUUCUUAUUAACUACCUUCUUGGUUGAUUAUCAAUUUCUUGGUCGAUUAUCACCCUAUUGUCGAUAGUCAACCUCCUUCUUGGUCCUUCAUCAACCCAUGAUCACUAAUCCAACUUUCUUCCCAAAUUAUCAAUUAAUUCUUGGUGGAUUAUCACCCUUCUGUCGAUAAUUAACCUCCUUCUUGGUUGUUUAUCAACUCGUGGUCGCUAAUCAACCUCCUUCUUGGUCGAUGUAGGUCAUUUUCAACCUCCUUCUUGGUUAUUUAUCCAUGAUCAGUAAUCAACCUCCUUCUUGGUCAAUGGAGGUCAUUUUCUUAAUUUCAAUCUUACGUGAAGAAAAUAAAGGUAAAAGAAAAUGAAAGUCAUUUCCUUAGUUAAAGUCUUACGGGGUCCUUUCAGUUAAAUCUUCUCAAGAUUCUGAUAUUCUGGACAUAUCCAUGUACUGUUUUAGUUUAUUCAUCCCCUUGUGUCUUCAAUCCUUCUUGUCAUAUACUAAAUUUAACUCCUCAGCUGAAAAUAUAUUUUUUACUGGAGCUUCUUUCUGGGUGUGACAAACGUGAAACGCCUCUAGACCUUUUCUUUUCCUCAUAUGGAAAGCCUUCCAAACACUCCUAAAAAAUUAAAACAGCAUAUCAGCAUAUUUAAAGCUAUACACUGCACAGAAAACAGUUAUGGUAUUGAACCUCAUCCUUACAUGCCCUUUGAGAUCGUAAAAUCAGAUUCUUACUUGAGUCUAAAGAGGGAUUUUAGCAGAUUCCUUUGAACUCAGAAAGUCAAAGCUAAAGAAUAUCCCUUUGGAUCUAAACUGAACGAGGCGAUAAAAAGCUCCAGAAAUGAUAAACUUUGACAUAGUUAGCAAACUACAGGAUUAUUACUUAUUAGGACCAAUAAACACCGUAAAAGUAAGGGUGCAAACUGCCCGGGCCUGAACCGGGACCGGACCGGGACCGCGGUCCUGUCGGUCCCGGGCCUGCCGGUCCAUUAAGCUCGUGACGGGCCGGUCCAUUUGCUUCGAACCGCCAGGCCCGGGACCGCGAGGCGGGCCUAGGCCGGUCCUGGCGGGCCCAACGGCUAUUUUCUAAAAAAAAAAUUUCUUUUUUAAAAAAAAAUCAGUAACGGGUCUUUUCAAAAAUAGCCGUUUGGAACUUUGUAAAAUAGCCAUUUGUCCUCCAAACUUUAUAUAAUUACAACUUUUCCCAUAUCUCAACUAUAAAUACCCCCUAAUUCUUUCAUUUUUUAUUCAUCAAUAUCUCUCAAUCUCUCUUUCAAUCUUUCUACUACAAUUGCUUAAUUUAUNNNNNNNNNNNNNNNNNNNNNNNNNNNNNNNNNNNNNNNNNNNNNNNNNNNNNNNNNNNNNNNNNNNNNNNNNNNNNNNNNNNNNNNNNNNNNNNNNNNNNNNNNNNNNNNNNNNNNNNNNNNNNNNNNNNNNNNNNNNNNNNNNNNNNNNNNNNNNNNNNNNNNNNNNNNNNNNNNNNNNNNNNNNNNNNNNNNNNNNNNNNNNNNNNNNNNNNNNNNNNNNNNNNNNNNNNNNNNNNAUUAGUAUGGCAUUUUCUUUGAAAAAAAUGUUCGGUAAAGGAAAAGGUAAAACCGGUGAAAGUAGUGGCCAUAAUACUACCCUUCCCCGGGCUCCCCGACCCAUAAAAGAUAAGCAAGUUGAAAGUAGUCGCCAAACUAGACGUCCUACUCCGCCUCGCGUAAUGCUUGAUAGCGAUCACCCUUGUUUUCAAUUUACCGAUAGUGAAUUUCUACAUUGAUGUUGCAGUAGGUGAUAGAUUAGAUAAUGAAAUUAUGAAUGAUCUUUAUCCUAAUGAACCUAUCUCAGAGGAAAAUGAGGAUGAUAAUGAUGAUGAUGAUAAAACACAAGCACCAUAUUUAGAUCUUUAUCCUUCCCUCCAAGAACUUCCCACCUUUGCUCUUGGGGAGACUCGAACUCACAACCUCUUGGNNNNNNNNNNNNNNNNNNNNNNNNNNNNNNNNNNNNNNNNNNNNNNNNNNNNNNNNNNNNNNNNNNNNNNNNNNNNNNNNNNNNNNNNNNNNNNNNNNNNNNNNNNNNNNNNNNNNNNNNNNNNNNNNNNNNNNNNNNNNNNNNNNNNNNNNNNNNNNNNNNNNNNNNNNNNNNNNNNNNNNNNNNNNNNNNNNNNNNGGCACACCCACCUGUAGAAACUCCAACUUUUAGUAGACAACCUGCUAAACGUGCAGAAACAUCAUUAGUUUGGCAUUUUUUUACUCAAGUAAGAGAACAAUAUAAGGCUAAGUGUAAAACUUAUGGGAAAUUACUUGUUCAUAAAUUUACUGGAGACCGUAGCGGCACAUAUAGUUUGGUUAGGCACAUAAAAAUACACUCUACAGAUAGGGCUAGAUUUUUUCAAAUGCAAGCGCAGCAAGAUGAAGAGGGGACAAGUGUAGAUUCUGCGGUUAACCCUAGUACAGGUUCAAAUCUAGUUCAACCANN